UUAGCCGACGAAAAAUUGUUUCGUCGGCCUGUUUUUUUUUUCGUCGGCUAAAGUCUUUCUUCUGGUAGUGUGUCCGAGAGUCUGAUUUUGGCAAAACAGUCAACUUCGACGGGACUUUGUUAGUAGCUCCUGACGAACCAGAAUGUGUGUAAUAUACGGUUGGAAAGCUCUAUGAGUCUAGUUUCCAAAACCGUUUACGGUUCAUUCAUAUGUAUUUCCUAGAGGAAGUUACGACUGUUCUAGUAACUAAAGGUCAUGCUGCGCGGAAAUCUGAUUUCCUGCAUGAACUUAUGUUUUGAGUUCACAAGCGGCCUUCUCCUCAAGAUCUAAGUGUAGAAGAUCAUUUGAGGACAAUACGGCAUGAUUUAGUUAAUCAUUGACCAAUGCCACAUUUGAAGACAUGUUAAAGAGCAUUGACAUGCUAAGUUGUUGAAACUUCCGUGAUUAGUAAAAAUCAGGAAGAGCCCUAUGAUUGAUGUAAAGAUCAGGGGGAGUCUAGCACAUACAUACAUGUCACUAAUGUGAAGGGUGCGUUGUACUCUUUUUCUCCUACGAUCAAGAUUCAGUUUUUCUCCCACAGGGUUUUUAUGACUUGACGAGGUUUUUGACGAGACAACAGAUCAGCACCAUCGGCAUAUCAGCACGCGGCACAAGGAGGAGUGUUCUAGGAUAUUCUAUAUCUUUCUAGAUAUUCUUUAUGUGUGUCUUGGCCUUAUGCCAAUAGGAUAUGUAGUUAGACUAGAUCUAUGUAUUCAUAUCCUUACCAUAUUGGUAUUGUGUAAUUCCCUAUAUAAAGGGCACCUAUCAAUGAAUAAGAUGAUGAUUCUUUUGCUAUCUCUUUGUCUAUACACUUUAUACUUCAUCAUCAAUAAGCUUGUAGGUAAAAAAUAAUGUACAAAACCGAUACAUUUAACAUAAAGAAAAAAAUAAAAUAAAUUUAAGUUCAAUCAUCCUUUAUUAAACUCGGACCCACUUUAAGUACAAAUCCCGGCUCCGUCACUACCUGUAACUAACGUCACCCAGUAUGAAAGGCCAUCUCCCCCUCUAAAUCAUCAUCAUCAAUUUUCCCUAGAGCAAGAUCCAUAUCCAUGGCUUCCUCAUUACGACCGGCCACAACUCAUCCAAUACUCUAACCAGUACCCAGAACCAAUCGUCACAUCGCAUGCCCCCAUAUGCGACUCAUCACCAUCGAUUCCGACUACGGUUCAAGCUCCACACCGGGUUACCAUUCUGAUCAACCACCCACGACAUCCUCCUUCAUAUUCGUGAUAGGAUUAGUGGAUUACCGGAUGAGCUUAUUUCUCACAUACUUUGUUUUCUUCCAACAAUAUCUGCCGUAAGGACCAGUCUUUUGUCUAAAAGAUGGAACAAGAUGUGGACCUUCGUUCACCAUCUACACUUCGACAUAGACAGAGACAUGAAUAGAGAAAAGUCCCGUAAUAAAUUCGGUUUGGAAUCCCGUUAUGAGAGGUUAGUACAAUCCGAUUUGGAAUCCCGUUUUGAGAGUUUAGUACAAUUUGUAUUUCUAUGUCUGUCUUCAGAGAUUAGAAGUUUUCGUCUUAGAUAUGGGCUCAAACAAUAUGACACUUUCACUUGAGUGUUUGGGUUUCUGCUGCCCUCUGGCGCAAUGUUGUUGAACUUGAUCUUAAAAUUGUUGCUUAUCCUGAUGAGCUACCUGAAAGCAUUUUCUUGUGCAAAACCCUCGAGGUUUUGAAACUGUGGAUAUGUCAAUCUAUAGAUAUUAUGCCUGAACCCCCUACAUCAGGUAGAUAAUAUUUCCCAAGUCUCAAAAUCUUCCAUCUCACAGUCAUAGAGUCUGAUGAGAGCCUGGGAAAACUACUUUCUUAUUUCCCUGUGCUCGAAGAUUUGAGCAUACAUUGACAUGUGUCGUACUCUUACAAUGAGUGUGACAAUUUCAAUGUCAAAGUUUCUGCCCCAGAACUGAAGACGUUGAAACUAAGUAUGGAACGUGAGGAAAUGAAUAACUACGGGAGGAGAAAUUAUUAUGAGAACCUUAAGCAGAACAGGUUUUGUGUCGAUGCUCCAAAGCUUGAAAAGCUUGAAGUUAUACAAAUUCCUCUGUCAAAUUAUAUUUUAGAGAACCCAAAAUCCGUAGUCAAUGCCAGUAUUGCAUUCAAAUCCCUUGCUGAAAAAGAAUGGCCUUCCUUUCCGGACCGUGCAUAUCAGCUUCUGACUGGAAUAUCUAAUGUUGAAUGCCUCUCUCUUUUAGAUCAACCAUUCGAGGUAAUCAAGCAUAUACUAACCCUUAUUUUCUUCAUAAAUCUUUAUUGUUGUAUGUUAGUAGUUUUCUAAUUUCUAGAUGGCUAUUUGUGUGAAUUGUGAUCACCACUUUCGAAUUCACUAAUUUUCCCCAGGCCUCAAACCUCCCUGUUUUUUGGUAAUUUGAACCAAUUGAGGCUGGUUCUCCGUGAUCGUAAUAGCUGGGAGUUUGUAACAGAGCUGCUUCACAAAACACCAAAUCUGGAAGAUCUAGAUCUUGUGUUGGAAGAUGUAAGUACAUUUGUACCGUGUAUUAGUAUACGAUAUUGUUACCACAUUUUCUUGAAGUGAAUUCUAAUUUCAUGAGCACUUAUAUAUCCUUAUCCUCAGGGAACCGAAGGCGAGAAAGAUGAUCCAGAACUACAAUGGACUCCACCUGAGCUUGUGCCCGACUGUUUGUCAUCAAACCUCAAGAGAAUCUCCAUAAGAGGAUUCAAGGGUCUACAAGUUGAAAGGCAAGUAGCAAAAUACAUGUUACUGAAUGGUUAUCAUUUGAAUAAGAUGACGAUUUAUACAUGCAUGUUAGAGAAGGAAGAGUCUUGCAAAGAUCUUUUAACCUUUAAGAGGGCAAUGAAUUGUCAAUUGGAAUUGGGAGCUGCAAUUUACACUACUCCGGUUACAAUCCACACCCCCACUUCUGGUUUUAAGAGUUGAAAAGUCACAAAUACCCCUUUUCUUUUAGACUUCAUGAAAAUAGUCUGAAACCGGCCACCCGCUCCUCCUCUUGGUUGGUAAUUUAUGGAAUGCAAAUUUUAACACCCUUGGAAUUUAGGGAGAUGCAAUUUUAGUUCUUGUAUGGAUGUCUUUUAGAAGAUUUCGUUUUGAGUGUAAAACAUCUCGUAUUUUUAAGGUAUUACAUCAACGUGAAUGAGAACUGUGGUCAUGAUAAUAUGACAAAAGUUGAUCUAUAUAAAAAUGAAAUGACAAAUGUAAAGAUGAUAUCAAUUUUUAUAAUUUCUUGCACUGUUUACAUCAAAAAAAAAAAAAAGACGUUUAAAACCAGAGUGCCACUACGUUGAAGUUGUUCUUCAUACUAUUCUUCUUCAUUCUCCUUCUAUCAUCAUCUAAUCAUUAAAAACAUGACCAAAAAAAAAAAAGGAAAAAUUCCCAUAUACCCUAAUUUUAAUAAUUUUUUUUUGACUAACAAAAUAAAAAUAUAAAAUUCCCACUAACCCUAUAUACUCUACUGAUUUGUUCAUUCUAACAAAUUUUUCAGCUUUUCUAUUUUUUUAUGGACAAAAACUGCCCUCCUUUCUCAAUCUCUCUCUCUCUCUCUCUCUCUCUCUCUCUCUCUCUCUCUCUCUCUCUCUCUCUCUCUCUCUCUCUCUCUCUCUCUCUCUCUGCGCCGCGACUCCUUCCUCACCACCUCUUAGGACGACACCGUCAAGCUCUAGACCAUCAACUGCCCACCUCCGUUCGGACCUUUAAGGAGCACGUCGAUCUACUACGUCUACUCUGCCGUCUGGAACCCUCGCCACGCCGACGUCUUCGCCUCCACCUCCGGCGGCUGCACCGCACGCGUCUGGGACGUGAAUGAGCCGAAUCCACCAUGAUCAUCCCGGCGCACAAGUUCGAGAUCCUCUCCUGCCACUGGAACAAGUACGACGACUACGUCAUUGCCACCGCCUCCGUUGACAAGUCCAUCAAGGUAUGGGACGUCCGGUCCAUCCGAGCACCGAUCUCGAUGCUCAAAGGCCACGGCUACGCCGUCAGGAAAGUCAAAUUUUCGCCGCACCGACAGAGCUUGAUGAUGUCGUGCUCGUACGACAUGUCGGUUUUCUUCGUAUUUUGGUCAAUUUUUUUUUUUCCGGUGAAGUUUUAUAAAUUUGCUGUUGAAUACUUGAAUUGCUUGAAAGAUGCAGAUUUGAUGUCUUUGAUUGAUUUAGAAAUGAGAUUUUUAGUUUCUAGUGUUGUGGUUAUAGCCAAUUCGCAUACGAUAAGGACUUAAAUGAGUUGUUAAAGACUGUUAGGUUUGCUUCUCUAGCUGAAUUGAAGUGUUUGAUAGGUCAAAAUCCAGCUUCGCUCGUGUCAUAGUUAAUUAUACAGGGAAAUGUAGAGCAAGUUUUGGGAUGUUAGAAAGGAAUGUGGUGAUGAUUUGUAGCCUUUUCAGUGUAUCAACAGUCUUGUUGUUUUUGCUUUGGAAAUUUUUGCUUGGUCGUUAACCAGCUUCUAAAAUCUUGAUUUGUGUUUUUAUGAUUUCAGAUAGAUUUGGUGAAACUGUUGCAUGAAUCCAAGUACUGAAAUAGAUUUGUGUUAAUUAUAUAUACAUACUGGAUUCUCAAUUGUGCACCUACCGAUUUUAUCUUUCAUAAGUGCACAUACUAGAAAUUGUCAAAUGAGAAAUGGAUGGAAAUGUAUAGGCAUCUUAAGAGCAUCUACCAUCUUUCAUGUAUAUUGCCCCCAAUAGGAGGUCUUACUGACCCCAAUAGGUGGUCAUACUGCCCCAAAUAGAGACAUGUUAUAAAUGACUGAAACACACAUUUAAGUUCAAGGGUCAUACUGCCUUCAGUAGGAGGUCCUACCGACCCCAAUAGGUGGUCAUACUGCCCCUAAUAAAAACAUACUUACCUUAAUAGGUGGUCAUACUGCCCCUAAUAGAAAUAUGUUAUAAGUGACUGAAACACACAGUUAAGUUCAAGAGUCAGUAGGACCUCCUACUAGGGGCAGUAAGACCUCCUACUGCGGGCAGUAGGAGGUCUUACUGACCCCAAUAGGUGGUCCUCUACACACACAACAGCAGUGGCAGAAGGCUGACCAGAUCGGAAGAUUAAGUUGUUUCGAGUCUUCCAAAUCUGCCAGCAUAAAACCAGUCUUCAAAAGUAGAACGAGGCUCAUUAUCUACUAAAUGAUCAAUCCAAGCAUUUAUAUUCGAGAAUGUUAAGGGGCUUGGUAGGUCCUUUGCAUUAUUCCAAACUAAAGUGCUAAAAGGACAAGACUUAAAAAGAUGGUUUGUAUCUUCAACAGCCGUGCCGCAAAGUGCACAUGUUGAAUCAAUUCCAUUCAUGAAUCUUGCUAGAUAAGCCCGAGUUUUAAGUCUUCCUCGCAUAAACAGCCAAGCAAAAAAAAUUUCGUUAGGAGGAAUUUUCAGAUUCCAUAUUCUAUUAAGGUUCUCAGCCCUAAAAUGUUUAGGGACCUUACACUGUAACCAGGUAGCUGUUUUGACAGAAAAUCUUUCGUUUGACACAGGGCCCCAAAUGAAUUCAUCUUCAACAUUCAUAAUAGUAAUGUUAAUAGCAAUAAUAUCAUUUACAAUGUUCCUGUCCAAUAACUCGUUCAAUUUAGCAAUAUUCCAGUGUCCAUUCUCUAUAAAAUUAGCAACAGAAACAUCCAAGUCAAUUUGUCUCAUAGACCCAAUUAAAGGUCCAGAAUUUCACACUUGCCAUUUCCAAUAAUCCAGCGGAGACCUGAAAGAAUCAAAUCCCUAACAUCAAGAAUACCUCUCCAAGCCACAGAAUGAUUAGCCUGUUUCUUAAUAUCAAAAAAAGACUUUUUUCACAAAUACUUUCUUGAACCAAUAUCAACCCAUAAGCUGUCUUUUUUAGUAAUCACAUUCCACCCGAGUUCAACAAGGCAGCUCUAUCAAGUCCUCCCCAACUUUUAGGGGUACAGACUUGGUCUCAGGCAACGAGGGGGGGGGGGGGGGGGGGGGGGUGGCAUUUAGCACUUUUUCCCCAGAAAAAAUUCCUCACUUCCUUUUCCAUAGCUGUUGAGAUUCUAGGAGGACACUUAAAACAAGAGAGCACAUGAUUCGGAACAGUGCGCAGAGGCAUUAGACUUGAGAAGAACAACCUUACCAGCUCUUGAGAGUGUUGCGCCUUUCCAACCAUUUAGUUUUUUAGAGUCUUUUAUCAAAAGUUCCUUAGAAUUCUGAGGGUCCUUCCAAAAAACAAUGUAAUGAAUCCCUAAAUACUUCCCAAUCGAAUUCCUAUUUUGAAUCCCCAAAAUAUUUGAAAUGGACAGCUUCAUAGAAGCAUCAGUUUUAGUAGAAAAGACAAUAGAAGACUUAUCUAAAUUAAUUUGUUGACCGGAGACAAAGGCAAAUUGAUGAAGGAUAGAAGAAAUGUUCCUUGCAGCUCUUGUAGAGGCCCGGCCAAAAAUUAAGCAGUCAUCAGCAAACAAUAAGUUAGAAAUUCUAAAACCUCUAGGAGAGGAUAAAAUUCCAACAUGAUUUUUGGGUCUAUCAAUAGCAGCAUUAAAGUGUCUAAUGAGAGGUUCCAUACAUAAAAUAAAAAUAUAAGGAGAAAUUGGAUCCCCCUGUCUUAAGCUUCUUGACGGAUGGAAAAGACCAUCAGGUUUACCAUUAAUCAACACAGAGAAGGACACAGUCUUAAUACACAUCAUAACAAGGUUAAUCCAUCUGUUAUCAUAGCCAAACAUUGAAAGAGUCACCUGAAUAUAGUCCCAACUCACAAAAUCAUAGGCUUUCUCAAGAUCAAUCUUGAUGGCCAUAGCCCUUUUUGUAGCUUUCAUCUUAUUGAAGUUAGAAAACAACUCAUGAGCAAUCAGGAUGUUAUCAGUAAUAGACCUACCAGGGUUAAAAGCCCCUUGAUUCUUAGAAAUGCACUUGCCUAAACUAGGCUUUAAUCUAAAAGCAAGAACCUUAGAGAUUACUUUGUAAAUAACAUUACAAAGGCUAAUUGGUCUAUAAUGACUAACCAGUUCAGGGUUUUCAACCUUAGGGAUCAAAGAAAUAUUAGUAUGAUUAAUCAAAUCAACCUUAGGGAUCAAAGCAAUAUUAGUAUGAUUAAUCAAACUCAGACAAUCAUUGUCAUUGUUAAAGAAACCAGAAACAAUGGAAAGAACACUUCCCUUAACAGCAUCCCAAUUCUUCUGAUAAAAAAGAGCAUUUAGACCAUCAGGGCCUGGAGUUUUUAGACCUCCAAUAGAGGACAUAGCUCUCUCCACUUCAAGUAAAGUGACAGGAGCUAAAAGAUUUCUGUUCUCCUCUUCAGUAACUAUCUUUGGGAUAAUAUCACAGAAAGAAUAGUCAGCAGCACUUCUGAUAUUACCAGCCGUGAACCUUCUUUUAAAGCUCUGCACCAGAAUAUCAGCAAUAUCAGUUUGAUUAGAAACCCAAAUGUUCAUAUCACUUUUAAUACCAGAGAUUCUAUUUCUUUGUUUCCUAAUGGUAGCCUGCAUAUGAAAGAACUUAGUAUUUCUAUCGCCAAGAGAUAACCAAUUCUCUUUUUCACGUUGAGCCCAAUAGAGCUCUUCCUUCUGAUAAAAAUCAUUUAAAAUCUGAGCUGCAUCCAAAGCUUCCUGUUUUAAAUAGAUGGAAUCAGGGAAAAACAUAAGCCGGUUCUGAUAAAGAGCCACAUCAUUCUGUAAUCUAGAAGAGUUCAGUAAGAAAUUACCAAAAGUUUCUCUACUCCAUAAAAAGAUACGAUGAGCAAACGACUUAGAAAUAGCAAUGAAAUUUUUAUAGGGGUUAACCCCUAAGUGCUGGUUCCAACACUCAGCAGUGAUCUUAUGAAAAUCAGAAUGAUCAAACCAAAUACAUUCAACCUUAAAGUUCUUAUGCUUAACAACUCGUAAAGGUAAAGUAGUGAGAACCAUGGGGCAAUGAUCAGAACCAACCAUGGGAAGAUUCUCCACAUUCACAUUAGGAAACAGAGCCAACCAAUUAGGGUUAGCAACAACACGAUCAAGUUUCUCAAAGACAACUGUAUGAUCUUUGUGUUUAUUAGACCAAGUCAUAGGUAAACCAUCAGCAACAAUCGUCUCAACAUUUAAAUUAUUCAGAAAGCUAACAAAAUUCUGCAUGUAAAUAGUAGUGGAACUCGCACCACCCACUUUUUCAUCUAAGCUAGUAAUACUAUUAAAGUCCCCCAUGAGAGCCCAAGCCUUGUCAUUUUGGGGCUUGAAAGUCUCAAUUAAAUUCCAUGGGUUCAGUUGUAACAUUUUCUGAGGGUAGGCAUACACAAAAGUAUUAUACCACUCUUUCUGAGAGCUACAUUAGAUCACGAAUAUGGCAAUGAAUAAAUCUGUCAUGCUUAUGAAUUACAUCAAUAGUAGAGCUAUGGGAAUUCCAACAUAAUAACAUCCCACCACAUUGUCCAAUAGAGUUAACAGAAUCAAACUUAUCAAAAUAAGGGGAGAGCAUAGCAAAAGUUCUAUUAGCCUGAUUAACAUCAGGGAUCCUAGUAUCUAAGAUACAUAAAACAUCUAGUCUCUGUUAAACAGUAAUGCGCACUAGUCUCUCUAGACUAUAUUUAAGAUUAUCUAGUUUAAUCUAGAACUUAUCUCUAGUGAUCAUGUAUGGUUGUAGAAAAAUCUAGAUUAAAUGUAAUUAAAUAUAAUUUAGUAUUGUCUAGAGUGAAGUCAUGUCAGUGGAGGUAAACCAAUGUCGGUUUACAACUCUAUAAAUAUGUAUCAAAGCUUGUAUCAUGAUGUAAUCAACUAAGCUAUCAAUACAAACUCUGUUUUUCUACAACAACUAAAUCUCCUCUGUUGCACACCUCCUCUAAUCCAAAUCUUCCAUUUUCUAAACACUCUUUGGCCUAAACACUAACUACCUUACCUUCUAAAACCAUCAGUGGUAUCAGAGUAGUUCUGAUCUAUUCGGGGCGUGUCCACCAUGGCGUCAUCUACCUCCCACCAAAACUCCCUACCUCUUCCAAUCUUCUCCGGUGAGAACUAUGACUUUUGGAGCAUCAAAAUGAAGACUUACUUCAUGUCUCAAGAUCUAUGGGACAUAGACGACAAAGGAUUCACAACUACAGAGAAUCCUUCGGUCGAGCAACUACGGCAAGAGAGGAAGGAGAAGCAAAGAGAUGCUAAUGCUCUUUACGCCAUCCAACAAGCAGUGGAUGAUGCGAACUUCUCAAGGAUCAUGGGAGCUUCUACAGCGAAGGAGGCUUGGGACUGGUUGAAGGAGGAAUUUCAAGGGACUGCUAAAGUGCGCUCUAUCAAAUUGCAAACUAUGAGGAGAGAGUUGGAAAACUUGAAGAUGAAAGAUUCUGAGAUCAUUAAAGAUUAUUACUCUCGUCUUAAGGGAGUAGUGAAUCAGUUAAGGGCCUAUGGAGAAAACAUAUCUGAAACUAGAGUUGUUGAAAAAAUACUUAUCAGUCUAACUGAGAAGUAUGAUCCGGUAGUUACUGCUAUAGAAAACUCUAGUGACAUAUCUCAACUUUCGGUGACUGAACUCAUAGGCUCAUUAGAAGCUUUCGAAAAAAGAUUGAGUAGCCGGGAUGAUACUCCACUAGAGAGUGCAUUUCAGUCUAAACUCAAUCUACGAUCUCAGAAUUAUAAAAGAGAAGAAAAGAAGAUAAAUGAUUAUCCUAGAGAAAGAGGAGAAAAAUCUAAAAAUUGGGAAAAUAAAAGAGACUUUAAGCAAAGAAGAACUUAUCCUCCAUGUGGGAUAUGUAAGAAUACCAAUCACAAAGAAGUAGAUUGCUGGUUUCGGGGUAAGCCGAAAUGCCGAAAUUGUAAUAGAUUCGGCCAUGCUGAAAAGAAUUGUCGGCUCAAGAAGAAGUAUCAAGCCAAUUUUUCAAAGGAGAAUGAAGAAGAUGAGCACCUAUUCUUCUCAUGUGAAGCUGCAUCUGAGGAGAAAAACCAGACAUGGUAUGUAGAUAGUGGUUGUAGCAAUCACAUGUCAGGGGAUGAAUCUAUCUUCUCCAACCUUGAUACAUCAAGGAAGUCACGAGUGAAACUGGGGAAUGGUGCUUUGGUGCAUACGAAAGGUAAAGGUACGAUCUCCAUCCAAACUAAUUUAGGAACCAAGUGUAUUGAUGAUAUUUUAUUGGUUCCUAGUUUAGAGCAUAAUCUGUUAAGUGUUGGUCAAAUGAUGGAGAAUGGUUAUGCUCUAUUAUUUUCUGGAGACUCUUGUAAAAUAUAUGAUAAAAAAAGAAGGAUGAUAUUUAAUGUAAAGAUGGAAAAUAGAAGUUUUCCUAUCCAGUGGUUACAAAUGGCCAUGAAGGCAGCUAUAGAUGAUUCAUGGCUAUGGCAUAAACGCUUUGGCCACUUCAAUUUCCAUGCUUUGAGAACUUUAUCUCAAAGAAAAAUGAUGGAGGACCUGCCAAACAUAGAGGUGAUUGAAGAUGUCUGUAGAGCCUGCCAACUCGGGAAGCAGCAGAGACAAGCAUUUCCUUCUGGAAGAGCUUGGAGAGCAAAAGACUACUUGGAGCUUGUGCAUACGGACGUCUGUGGACCUAUGAGGACUCCAUCUCUUGAUCAAAGCAAGUACUUCAUUCUUUUCAUUGAUGAUUAUACUAGAAUGACAUGGGUCUACUUUCUACGUGAAAUGUCUGAAGUUUUCAAGAUCUUUCAAAAGUUCAAGAACCAUGUCGAAAAACAAAGUGGCCAUUACAUCAAAGCUCUUAGAAGUGACAGAGGUAAAGAAUAUACCUCUAAACAAUUCAACAAAUUUUGUGAAGAUGAAGGAGUAGAGCACCAACUAACAGUGGGCUAUGCUCCUGAACAAAAUGGAGUCUCUGAGAGAAAAAAUAGAACCGUGAUGGAGAUGGCAAGGUCAAUGUUAUGUGAAAAACACUUGCCAAAGACUUUUUGGGCAGAAGCUGUAUAUACAGCAGUCUACUUGCUAAAUAGAUGUCCAACAAAAGCAUUACAAGACAAGACACCAAUUGAAGCUUGGAGCAACAAGAAGCCAUCAGCAAAGCAUCUCAAGGUCUUUGGGAGCAUUUGCUAUGUUCAUAUUGCAGCUGUUAAAAGGCACAAGUUGGAAGAAAAAUCAGAAGUUGGUAAUUCGUUGGCUACAGCUCGCAAGCUAAAGGUUACCGAGUAUACAAUCCAAAAAUGGAGAAGCUCAUGAUCAGCAGGGAUGUUAAGUUCGAUGAAGCUGCCUAUUGGGAUUGGGAAAAAGAAGAAGUUAUGAAGAACAAAUUUGUCCCAACAGAAAAGCAGCAGAUUACAUCUCCUUUGCAUUCAAGGGAAGAAGAAUUUGAAGAAGAAACUUCAGAAUUUCCAGGUACGCCCUCUAUUACUCUUCCAUCUAAUCAAGAAGAAGAUGAUGUUCCAGAAUCUCCACCUAGAAGAGUAAAAGUCAUUGAGGGAUAUAUACGAAACAUGCAAUUUCAUAUCUUUAGAACCUGAAAGUUUNNNNNNNNNNNNNNNNNNNNNNNNNNNNNNNNNNNNNNNNNNNNNNNNNNNNNNNNNNNNNNNNNNNNNNNNNNNNNNNNNNNNNNNNNNNNNNNNNNNNNNNNNNNNNNNNNNNNNNNNNNNNNNNNNNNNNNNNNNNNNNNNNNNNNNNNNNNNNNNNNNNNNNNNNNNNNNNNNNNNNNNNNNNNNNNNNNNNNNNNNNNNNNNNNNNNNNNNNNNNNNNNNNNNNNNNNNNNNNNNNNNNNNNNNNNNNNNNNNNNNNNNNNNNNNNNNNNNNNNNNNNNNNNNNNNNNNNNNNNNNNNNNNNNNNNNNNNNNNNNNNNNNNNNNNNNNNNNNNNNNNNNNNNNNNNNNNNNNNNNNNNNNNNNNNNNNNNNNNNNNNNNNNNNNNNNNNNNNNNNNNNNNNNNNNNNNNNNNNNNNNNNNNNNNNNNNNNNNNNNNNNNNNNNNNNNNNNNNNNNNNNNNNNNNNNNNNNNNNNNNNNNNNNNNNNNNNNNNNNNNNNNNNNNNNNNNNNNNNNNNNNNNNNNNNNNNNNNNNNNNNNNNNNNNNNNNNNNNNNNNNNNNNNNNNNNNNNNNNNNNNNNNNNNNNNNNNNNNNNNNNNNNNNNNNNNNNNNNNNNNNNNNNNNNNNNNNNNNNNNNNNNNNNNNNNNNNNNNNNNNNNNNNNNNNNNNNNNNNNNNNNNNNNNNNNNNNNNNNNNNNNNNNNNNNNNNNNNNNNNNNNNNNNNNNNNNNNNNNNNNNNNNNNNNNNNNNNNNNNNNNNNNNNNNNNNNNNNNNNNNNNNNNNNNNNNNNNNNNNNNNNNNNNNNNNNNNNNNNNNNNNNNNNNNNNNNNNNNNNNNNNNNNNNNNNNNNNNNNNNNNNNNNNNNNNNNNNNNNNNNNNNNNNNNNNNNNNNNNNNNNNNNNNNNNNNNNNNNNNNNNNNNNNNNNNNNNNNNNNNNNNNNNNNNNNGAAGAAUCUUUGAAGACAUGGGAGAGAAACAAGAAAAUGCCACAAGAAUCUUCAGUGACAACAAAUCUGCAAUUGCAAUGGCGAAGAAUCCGGUAUGUCAUAACAAAACGAAGCAUAUCAAGAUCAAGCAUCACUUCUUGAGAGAAGCUUCAACAAACAAAGAAAUUGAGCUCCACUACUGCAAGACAGAAUUACAGCUAGCCGACAUCUUCACUAAGGCACUCGCAAGAACAAGAUUUGAAAUACUGCGAAGCAUGCUUGGAGUAGCACCAAUGCGCAUUAAGGAGGAGUGUUAAACAGUAAUGCGCACUAGUCUCUCUAGACUAUAUUUAAGAUUAUCUAGUUUAAUCUAGAACUUAUCUCUAGUGAUCAUGUAUGGUUGUAGAAAAAUCUAGAUUAAAUGUAAUUAAAUAUAAUCUAGUAUAAAUAUGUAUCAAAGCUUGUAUCAUGAUGUAAUCAACUAAGCUAUCAAUACAAACUCUGUUUUUCUACAACAACUAAAUCUCCUCUGUUGCACACCUCCUCUAAUCCAAAUCUUCCAUUUUCUAAACACUCUUUGGCCUAAACACUAACUACCUUACCUUCUAAAAACCAUCAGUCUCAGAGAAGCAGACAGAUGCUUCACCUGAACUAGGAAACCAGAACAGGAACUACCCUGGCUAUUCCAUAUAUAUUAGCAUUCUCAUUAAAAACAUACAUAAAAAGGUCAUUGUCAUCACUAGUAUCCAUAUUGUUAAUCCCAGCAGCAUUAUCAGAAACAGUAUUCUCAGCCUCCAUGUUGACGAUGCCCUCGAGGGAAUCUUUAAAAUUGACAACAGUAGAAAAAUGCUCACCUCACAAUCCCUACCAUCAAAUCUAAAGCAAUUUAUAUAAAGUGGAAGAGAACACCCAAACCUUCUAGAGCAAACUAGCCCAUAAACCCAACUCUCAAUUCUCAAAUGGAUAAAGCAAACAGAUUCUCAGAAUAUGAAAAGAUAAAGUCCAAUUAACAAAUGUGAGAAGGGGAAGGCAGAAGCAUACCUAGGUAGGAUUAACAAGGACACGUACCUCGACCAUCGGUCGGAGUCCGACACUAAGAACACAAUCAGAUUCAAAUCUGAUGAAGGAAGAACGGAGGCCAGAAUGAUGUCGCAUCAUAGACUUGAGAGACCACUGUGACUCGAGCAAUUCCACGAGAGGUCGGCCUUGAAAAUUCCAUGCUCGCAACUUUUCCCAAAUCCGCAACGCCAUCGCGACUUUAAAAUAGCAGUUCCGUAAAUCGAAGCCCGGCCAAAGAGCAUGCCACCUAACUGCCCAAGCGAUCCAAAGAAUUGGAUCAAAGACUCCCGAACAAGCCAGAGAACGAAGAAAUCGAAGAAACCCUAGCGCGUGAGGCGCGUUCCUUUAUACCCAUACCGUUUUCUAGGCCCACGGUUACACAGUUUGCCCUAGCUAUAUAGUUACACAGUUUUCCCUAGCUAUAUAUAAAACUAUGCUUAAUAAAAGGUUACUAGCUCUAGGUUUGGAGUCGGCUGUUUUACUUCUGCGGUGAUCCCCAUCAGUACCAAGUCUCACCGCCAAAGAUGGUCGAACCAUGGCAGCAGUCAAUCAUACGGGUUGAUGACCCCACGCUUCCCAGACCAUGGCAGUGCCUGAUCCAUCUUCCCAGAGGUUUGCUAUAUUUCUGGAACCCUAAAACUAGGGUCAGACAGUACGAAAGGCCAUCUGCCGGCCCUCCUUAUCUUUAUCAAUUUUACCGAGAGCAAAAUUCAUAUCCAAAACCACCCUCUACAUCGAUUCCGAUCAACUGCCCACGACAUGGUGAAGAUAUGAUUAGUGAAUUGCCGGAUGAACUUAUUCUUCGCAUACUUUGUUUUCUGCCAACAAUAUCUGCCUUAUUGACCACUUUUUUGUCUAAAAGAUGGAACAAGAUGUGGACCUUUGUUCGCCAUCUAGACUUUGACACAGACAGAGAGAGGUUUGAUUAUAGAUCGCAUUUUGAUAGUUUUGUACAAUUUGUUUUCCUACGUCUGUCUUCAUCAGUCGACAUUGAAAAAUUUCGUCUUAGAUAUACCACUCCCCCUGAUGAUUCUAAUUCGGGAGAUGUUUCUGCUCAAUUGAAUGAUUGGGUUUCUGCUGCCGUCUGGCGCAAUGUUGUUGAACUUGAUCUUAAAAUUGUUGAAGCAACUGAAGCAUUUUCUGGUCUACCUCGAAGCAUUUUCUGGUGCAAAACCCUCAAGGUUUUGAAACUGUGGAUAGAUCAAGGUAUAGAAAUUCCUGAACCUCCUACAACAGGGUGUUUCCCAAGUCUCAAAAUCUUCCAUCUCACAGUCACAGAUCCUUAUGAGAGCCUGGGAAAUAUACUUUCCUACCUCCCUGUGCUCGAAGAUAUGAGCCUCCCUGUGCUCGAAGAUAUGAGCAUACAUGUACAGCUCACGCGCGAUUACAAAACCUAUAUCAAUGCCAAAGUUUCUACACCAGAAUUGAAGACGUUGAAAUUGAGUAUGGAACGUAAGAAAAAGCAUUAUCAUAGAACCCAAGAGCACGACAGUUUUUGCGUCGAUGCCCCAAAGCUUGAAGAGCUUGAAGUUAUACAGAUUCCUUUGUCAAAUUAUAUUUUAGAGAACCCAAAAUCCGUAGUCCAUGCUAGUAUUGCUUUCAAAUCCCGUGCUGAAGAAGAUUGGUCUUUCUUACCAGACCAUGCAUAUCAGCUUCUGACUGGAAUAUCUAAUGUUAAAUGCCUCUCUCUUUCAAAUCAACCAUUCGAGGUAAUCUAGCAUAUAAUAACUCUUUAAUCUUUAUUGCUAUAUAUUAGUAGUUUUCUAAUUUCUGGAUGGCUGUAUGUGUGGUCACCACUUUCACUAAUUUAAUUUCCACAGGUUUCACAUCUCCCUGUUUUUGGUAAUUUGAACCAAUUGAGGCUGGUUCUCCGUUAUCGUAAUACCUGCGAGUUUCUAACAGCGCUGCUGCACAAAACACCCAAUCUGGAAGAUCUAGAUAUUGUGUUGGAAGAUGUAAGUAAGAUUUGUUCGUGUACAAUUAUACUUUAUUAUUUACCACAUUUUCUUAAAGUGAAUUCUAGUUUCCUGAACUCUUAUUUUAUCCUUAGGGAACCGAAGGCGAGAAAGAUGAUCCAGAACUUCAAUGGACUCCACCUGAGCUUGUGCCUGACUGUUUGUCAUCAAAUCUCAAGACAAUCUCCAUAAGAGGAUUCAAGGGUCUACAAGUUGAAAGUCAAGUAGCAGAGUACAUGUUAUUGAAUGGUUGUCAUUUGAAUAAAAUGACAAUUUAUACAUGUAUUUCAGAGGAGGAAGAGUCAUGCAAAGAUCUUUUGACCUUUAAGAGGGCAAUGACUUGUCAAUUGGAAUUUAGGGAGAUGCAAUUUUAGAUCUUAUAUGGAUCGCUUUUAGAAGAUUUUGUUUUGAGUGUAAAACAUCCCUAAUUUUUGUGGUACGUCAAUCAGAUUCGUGGUCAUGAUAGUAUGAGAAAAGUUGGUUUAGAUGGAAUUUUUCAUCAACGAUGCCAACAUACCUUAUAAAUGAAGGAGAAUAAAGGGUCUCCUUGUUUCUUUUGUUCGGAUUACCUUUAAAUUUGCAGCAAUAUGGAAAUGUAAGAAAUAUGAAUGAGAAUGAGCUUUCAUGUAUGGUGAAACCUUCUUUUAUCAAAGCAAAUAACAAUACAUGAAAUGAAAGUAUACGAUAGAUUGAUAGAAGGCAUCAACAGUAAAUCUUUGACCCCCACAACGUCUUAAAGCUUUCCUAACAUGACUUCAGAAAUCAGAAUAAUUACUAAUUUUCACGCCCGUGGGUUUCUAAAAUCUAGUAUAAACUAUACUGCUGCUGGCCAACAAAAAAAACAGAAAUUUUGUAAUAUCUUUCUAUACAUUCUUUACUGGCCAAAACAUGCUAUAUAUCCCAACUAGAACAUCAUAAAAAAGUCAAGUUUAAAACCAGAGAGCCACUACGUUGAAGUUGUUCCUUCAUACUAUUCUUCUUCUUCAUUUUCCCCUUUUUGUUAACCCACUAUGUGUGAUAGAGCACCUAUGGUCUAUACACCGUUCUUCUCUGCACUAUAGAACUAGACAAUCAUGUUUCAGCUUGUGCCAGAACCGAAUUAUCGAGUGUCAUCUCCUCCUGUUCUUCGGUAUCAACUUGGAGAGGACUUGGGUCAACUUCUGUGGUCACGUUGAUUGGCCCUUGUGGUGUUCCAAAAAGUGUAGUGAAUAUCUGUCUAUGGCAUUCUUCACAAAAGUAGAUAUAGGUGAAAUGGCCCUCGUAGGGGAGCUUAUGUACAGCAGCUCCUGGUAAAAUCCUGUGCACAAAAUCAGUCAUUGAAGGUGGUGCCACCUUAUCAUCCAUCCCCUGUUAGUAAAGUGAUCUCAAGUAAGUUUACUUGCAGAAAGAUUGACACCUCCAAAUAACUGAAGCUGAUUACUGUGUUGAGAUUCAUUAUUGUUAUUGUUACAAGAUAAGAACCACCAGCAAUAUAAUUUAACAAGUAUGUUACCGUAUUCCAUCCACAUUCUUCUAGCAGAAGUAAUUUCUUUACAAAGUUAUCAAUAGUUGUUCUUUAGAAAGUUCAUGACUUCAUAUUUUCAUGACGUAAAGCAAUUCAAUUACCCUGUCUAAUCAUUGAUCUUGUUGUUAUCUACUAAACAUGUAACUUAGUCUUUGAGGAAAAUAGUGCAACUUUAUAAGUAGGUUAUUGGUUGGCUGUUACAAAUACACAAUAAGAUAGAGAAGCUUCUGACCUGCCAGAUGUGUAUUGGUCCAAGGAAGCCGAUAUAUUCCUCCUGAGCUGCACUGAGCACAGACUUGAGCCAAUUGAGCAUUCCUUUCCCUUGUUGCUUCUUCUGCAAUUUGAGGUCCGCAAGGCUGAAACCCCAAUUCGACACUUGCAGAACAGCUUCUUCCACAAACGGUUUUGCACUUCCCUGCCUAAUGGACUCUUCAACAUCCCUUUGCCAGAAUUCUUCAUAGAUUGGAUCCUCUAUUAAAGCCUUGUCCUGGUACAAGUUGACAAAGGAUUCUCAUAUAAGUAUCAUCAUGGUAAUCCAGGAAUUACAAAUGUAAAACAAACAGAAAAGAAGUGAACUACAAAAGUAGUAUGAUAGAACCACCCUACUCACAAGGAACAGUAUCCCAGUUGAAUCACUAGGAGAAAAAUUUUAAAGGAUAGGAACAAACAGCUAAAAAAGCUGUCUCAGUACAAUUUUAAUAUAAUACCAUACCGUGGCAUUUGAAUAUCUAUGAAAUUUUUUCUGCAUUAUAGCUAAUUUAUAAUAGGAGAUCCCCCAUAAUAAGACGUUCUAUUCACAUACAAUGUUAAAUAUAAAAAAAAGUAUGCAUGGUUGUAAUAGUUGAAACUUAAGUUCAAAUUCGCAAAUGUUUACAAACAGCAAUAACAAUUCUUACCCUCUUUCCAAGUGACAACGACAGCCAUUUCUCAAUUUGUCCAUGCUUUCCAGAUAAGAAACUCCGGUGGUAGAAGUAAGCCAGAAAUCUGGGAAACCUCCUGGCUAGAAAGUAAAAGAGUUGCCUCUUUCUUGUCCACUGUUUCCAGGUUCUACGUCUCUCUUCCCUGUUCAUGAUUGAAUCGUAUGGAUUAACCAUUGGAGCCAUCAUGGCAGCACCUGCAAAUUAGAUCAGUCAGGAUCAUGAGAAGAUAUUACUGGAAAAAAAAAAAUAUAUGGCAGACAUCCUAAUUUCCUCAGAAGAAAAUUUUAUCAUAAAUGAGAAACUAAUAGAAAAUGUUGUUGAACUCAUCUGCAACUUUAAUAAACAUAUUUUAUCAGGCCUCAUUAAAGACUUGGCAUCCAUAAUGACAAUAACAUGUCGGUUGCAGAUUCUGGCGAAGACUAACCCAUGAAAAAGACUUUUCAGGUAAGUAACAUGAACAUCAGAAACUUCAGGGAAAUAGCAGAGAGAUGAUUAUUAGUAUCACAAUGUACCAUAACAUACAGUACCCAAUAACAGAACAAAAUUCCUUUGGAAAUGCUGUAUCUGUUCCACUUCUGGAAACCUUAUCACUGCAUGGGAGAACCUUUCACAAAUCAUAGAAGUGUAGGAGACAUCAUACCUGCAAGUCUAUCAGGAAUGUAUCUGAGUGCUGCCCAGGCAUGCAUGCUUCCACUAGAGUAUCCAACAACCCAAAACUUGUGAUUAACACCAACAGCAUCAGCUAAGAGCAACAUAUCCAUUGCUGAAGUUUCAAGGUUCCUAUCAGGAUGAGGAUCACUCUCUCCAAAUCCAGGAAGAUCAUAUGUCAAUAAGCGAACACCAAACUCUUCCAAUAGUGAAGCCUUAAGUCCCGGUAUUCCUAAUUUUGAAAAACAAGAUACAAAAUCAAGAAAAUGCAUGCCUAAAAUAAACAAGAACAGCAAAAGUAGAUGCAUUAUCUGUAGGUUUAGCCAUAAAAAAGAACGUCGCACCUGCAAGCCUGGAGGAAAGGAAAGAAUGUGGAGAAAUAAUUGAGAAUCUAGCAUUGUCAGCCGGAACUCCCUGCUCCUUAUAUGCAAUGUAUCUACCAUCUGGAAGCAUCACGCGGGCAGCACUAGGAGGAUGUAUGUACACCUUCUUCACUACAUUUGGAGUGGUAGGAGUAGUUUCCAUAUUCACAAUCAGUGCUGGAAUUUUGUAAGCCAUGUCAGCAAAAAGCACAAUAAUAGACCCAAACAACCAAAGGAGAAGCAAAUUAAGAGAAGGAGCCCCUGAAUCAUCAGAUUAACAGGCGCAUAUACUCUAAACUUAAUUCCCCUUUGCUAAUUCUCAAUCAGUGUAUAACUCAUAUUCACAAGCAUGCAAUCAAACAGAGAAAAUAAUUGCAUUUCAAGUUAGAACUGUUAUCAUCAAAAUUUCUGUACCGGAGUUGAAGUGAUCAAUAGUAACUUUCCACUACAGAAAGUCAAAGUUUAUUCCAACCAGAACUUUUCCAGGAUUUCCACAAAAUUCUGAUGCUUUCCUACUUUUUCGACCAAACCGAACAAAACUUUUAGAAACUAUAUCAAAUACUUUCCGGCAAAUAUUUCUCCGGCAAAAAACUUUCCGGCCAAAAAAUCAUGUCACAAAAUCCCCAAAUUAACCAAAAAUCCAAACUUUUAAGCAUAGUCAAACAACAAAAGGAAAAUUAUACAAAACUGGAAAUUCUCAGCAACCAAACAGAGCACAAUCUAUGAACUGAUCUUCUCCUCCUACAUUUGAUCAACAACGAAACAACACACAGCGACGCACCUGCAAAAGCCAAAACGGCGACGAACAGAAUCACCGACCAAGCAUGAACCGGCUCCUUAUCCUCCGGCAAAUACUCAUUCAUAAACCUCAGCUUCCUCGUCACUCUCUUCCCGAAAUACGUCUCCUUCACCUUCUGGAAGCUUCGCACAACCACCGAGUCCCGAUUCCCCAAGCUCUGCCUCGCAAUAUCCCUACACCCCUUCCCGAACUCCACCGCCAUCUCCGCCGCCGCCGCCGCGAACUCCCUCACGUGCUCGCCGACUCCCUCCGGCUUAAUCGCAUUGACGCUCGAGUCCACCGCAACGCCGCCGUACGACGCCGAGACGUGACCGUUGAGAAGAUCCUCGGGUCGCCAGGGCCGGGCCCGGCCCGCGGUGAACGGCGGCUCCGAGUUUGACUCCCACAUUGACCGGAAAUCAAAGGGAAAAGAGAGAGAGGGGAAACUGGAAAAGGGAGCGAGUGGUUUUGAUUACAUUGGGGUCUUGGAGAAAAAAAGGUGAAAAGGAAAGGGAUGGGAAAAGUGGGAGUGAGGAAGAAGAAGAGUGGUUGUUGCCCUUUUUGAUUUCUUGCAGUGGCAUUUCGUUUUUUUUUUUCAAUUUUUUUAAAUACUUUUUAUAUUUUUUUAAUAUUAAGUUUAUUGCGUGGGAUCUGGUGCCGGUGGGUACACGGAGCCAGGGAGGAGUGGGAGUUGUGGGGGUGGGACCGGCACGGGGGAGAGUCGGUGUGGAUUUGGCCACGUAGAGGAGGGAGUGGCGUCACCGUCGCGUCAGGCGGUAGUGAUGGACUGAUGGUGGAAGUGGCGGUUGUUGCGUACUAACGACUCUGUCUUUCUCGUUUUAAUCUCAGCAGCUGGGCCGCGCUGCUUGGUGAUGGAAUAAUAUUUUUAAUAUUUAAUUUUAAUUUUCUAAUGGAAUUUUUUAUUCUUUUUAAUUCUAUACUAGAGGGUCUUGACAUCUUCCACCGCCCAUCUUCGCCUCCGUCGACUUAGAAUUAGGCCGGACUAAAUUGAAGGUGAUAGGAAAUUGAUGAUAGAGUGGGCAAUGAAUCUAUGGUAUGACUGUAUGAAGAGUGAGAUCAUAUUUAUUCGGUAGGUUUAGUUUCUUAGUUGUUUAUCGUUUUUUUUUUUUUCUUUUCCUUCAUCGACUUGUUGGUUGAGAAAAAGAAGAUAGACUAAGAUGGGAGAGAGAUAAAGUUAUUAUGUCAUAUAAAUGUGACUUUUUGAUCUUUAAAGUAGCUUAGCUUUGCUUUGUCUGCCGAUCAUAAAGGCAAAGUAGUUUAGCUUUGCAUGUAACUCCUAAACAUAGCCACAACUCCCACAAGUUCCAAUAAGACAUAAUAGCACCUACCGCUUGCAAAAGGCCUUACACUCUCGCAACUUGCCUCUAUAUAGCCGAUUUUGCCUAUUUAGUAAUGUAGGAUUAGGACAUGCCACAUAGUAACCAUUCGAUGAAAACCCAAUUAACAACAUAAUGUCUAGUUUAAAUCUCAAAUCACUAGUUUUACGUUUCUCUUGUUUUGUACAAUAAUGUUGUUAGAAAAUCGAUUAUCAUAUGUGAUUACGAGAAACAUCACAAUUUAAAGAUAUUGUGGUACACUAACUCGAUCAUAUUGUGGAAUCAUUUGUGUUCACUAGUGGCGUAGUGCAUGAACAAAAAUGAUAUUGCGAACAAAAUGAUGACACCUUUUCGGUGGACUCAAUGAUUAUAAUGGUGGUCCUGAUUACUGUAUAAUUGAUGUAUAAUUGCCUCAAACACCACAACCACAAGCUGGAACAAGAUUACAAGAAUCACACCUACAUCGACAUGUCCAUGAGUCACUCCAACUAAUAUGUUUCACUUACAAUGCCAAAGUUGGUGCCUACCUUUUUAUAUCUCUUUGACAUUUCCAUUAAUUUCUUAACCAGAUGGAUUGAGUAAUAAUAAUUCGACAAGAAGAAGAAGAAGAAAAAAGCAAGCCACACACCAAACGGCUGGCCUGUCAUUUCAUGCAAUUCCAAAAAUAUAAAGUUGGACGUGACACAACUCAUAUGAUUUUAUCCACAUAAGUGAAUUUUCCUUAUGUUACUGUGUAUGAUUAAAUUUUCAUAAUCACAACUGUUGGAGCGGUAAUAGUAUGUCAUAUUCUCUAAUAAUUAAGAUAAGAUGAAAAAUAUGUUCGGUAAAACAUUUCAUGCAAUUCCAAAAAUAUAAAGUUAUAAGCCAUACUCUGCAUUUUAUGGAUGGUUAUUGUUUGCGUGGAUAAAUAGACAAGGCAAAGCCGCAAAAGUAGUCUUUGAUCGGAUGGUUAGUGACGGGUCUAUGGUUAAUGUUCACAAUUAUAGCAGAAUGAUAAACGGAUAUUGUAAACAGCGAAAAUUAUACAGCGCACCCGGAUGCGCUGAAUACGCUCUCUGUAAACAGAACAAAAUCGAUGAGGCAGUGCAUUUUUUCCAAGAAAUGGCAUUUUUUCCAAGAAAUGUCUCACAUGGGAUUGGUUCCAUGGUUUCACUUAUAGCACUCUUGUGUAUGUUUCUUCAAAGUCGGGAGGAUACAAAGUGCAAAGAAGUUGUUCUCCGAUAUGCAAGCUUAUGCUAUUUUACUAGAUGGCCUAUGUAAAAACCAACAGCUAUCAAUGGCAAUUGAAUUGGUUAGAGAGAUGGACAACAAGUUGGAUCAAAAUAUUCUUAUGGAGGGUUUGUUCCUAGCUGGAGAUGUUGAAUCUGUAGUUUAUCAUCCAAGCGACUUCAACCUAAUGCCCGUACAUAUAACAUAUUGAUUAAGGGACCCUGUCAUACAUAGUGGACAUUGUAACGAAGCAGAAGAGUUGCUUAAGGAAACGGAAGAGAAAGGCUGUCCUCCAGGUGAUUGUACGAGGGUUGAUUAAUAACAAUGAAACAUUGCGGGCUGUGAAACUCGUUCAACAAAUGAAGAAGAGAGGUUUCUCUGCAGAUUCAUCAACAGUGGAAUUGGUAUUGUCUCGUGAUAAAGUAGAUACCUCUUUUCUGCCAUUGUUGAAAAAUUUCAUUAUGAUAUGAAUUUGCACAUUGAAAUAGAACUUUCGUUUAUUGUCUAAAUAGAAAGUACAUCACAGUUUGUUGCUUGCUAGUGUUGUUUCAUUAUUAAGUUAUUUGAAUCAAUGAAGCAUUUCUAGUAGCAGAAGGAAAGAUGAAACUAUUGCACGUACUUGUGACAACUUUUGUUGUAUUACAUAUCUUUGACAAUGGAAGAGUUGGCCCAGAGGUGCUUUUGCUUACUGAUUCUGUUUCUUUUUCUCGUUAGCAUUUGGCAAAAAUAUAUUCUUUGCAAACCAUAACCUCUGAAUAAACCUUUCAGGACUGUGCUGGAGUUAUACUAUUUACCGCGGAAAGAGCCACACAUGUUGCUUUGCAGGUAAAAGAUUCUGCUCUAAUUCCAUUCUAUCUCUACUUUUGAAACCAAGUAAUUUUUCUAUUCAAACUCAAACCUCAUUCGGGAAUGCAACUAAGCUUGCAUAUUGCACAUUGCUUGAAUUCCCCCAUGUUGAAGUUCAUGAUCUCCAUUUGCAUGGUGUUGCUAAGAGGUUUAUAUAAUGAGAACUAGGAUCUGUAUAAAGAUUCUUGCAAUUGGAAAAAAAAUAAAAUAAAGAAAAGCCUAGGAAGAACAUAUGUUAUCUUUACUUGUAUGGAUGUUUCCACGACAAGUUUGAACCUUGCAGGCUAUACAAUGCUUAGGUGGUAAUGGCUAUGUAAAUGAAUAUUCUACUGGCCGUCUCCUUUGAGAUGCCAAACUCUGAGAUUGCAGCAGGGACUAGUGAGGUCCAUCUUGGUUGAUCUUAAGUAGAUCUUCAACUGGCGACAAAUGAGAAUUCUAGAGGUGACAAACUUAUUUUUCCUUGUUACUUCCCCAGAAUCAUGCUUCUCUGAAUACUCUGUUCCAUGCUACAAAAUAGAAGAGCACCUUGUUUGGUUGGUACAGAAGCCGAAAGAUCACGUAUUUCUCUGUUUUCCUCUACAAUCUACACACUACUAGUAUGUUUUCAUAUACAUGAUUUUGCAGAAAAGAUUUUAUAACAAUAUUUUGGUCCAACUGGUUCAUCAGAAUUUGAUGUACACCUUUUUUUUUUUUAAUGCCAAUAUCCAUCUGAAUGUUGGAAUGAAACAGGUUAGAACAAAUGUACGCGCGUAUAUAUAAUUAAUCUUUGAGAGUAUGAAAGAAUAUAUUGUUCAGUUCAGAGGACCAUGUUCGGGGAUGACAUAACUUCAUGGAGUAGCCUAGCUGGUCUAUUCAUGUCUACAAAAGGGACUCAUCACCAAAGGAACAGAUUUCUCAAGCAUGCUUCAAUCCAACAGAAACUAUGGCAAAUAGGCAAUAAUAUGACAGUAAAUUCCCUUCUUACGUUCGCAAGAAUCCUACAUGCUGCAAUGCUGCAUUUAGUACACCUUCAUGGAAUAGUUUCUUUCCUCAUAGCAAAAGUGCUUCCUCAUUCAAACUUAAGUGCAUCCACGAAGGCACUCAAAACACAAUGGGCCAAAUGACUUUGUCUCAUGUUCAGUCAUUCCCGCUGCUCUAACACUAAUAAUUUUGAAGAAACCAAAGAAAAGAAGACUGCACAAGAAUAUCAGCCUGAAUCUCUUUUAGCAUGAUACACUAGUCAUAGUAGUCGUAAUCGUCUUGUCGCCGUACCUGUCGUGGCUGUUCAUAGUAAUAAUCCUGUUGUUGCUGUACCGGACGUGGCUGUCCAUAGUGGUUAUAAUCCUGUCGUUGCUGUACGUGUCGUGGCUGUUCACGUCUAACAGGCUGUCCAUGUCGUGGCUGUUCAUUGUAGUUAUAAUCCUGUUGUUGCUGUACGUGUCGUGGCUGUUCACGUCUAACAGGCUGUCCACGUCGUGCCUGAUCAUGUAUAACAGGCUGUCCACGUCGUUGCUGCUGAUGUAUAUUGGGCUGCAGUUGCACACGUCCAGGCAGUCCUUGUCGUGGCUGUUCAUGUAUGGCAUGCUGUACUUGUUGGGGCAUAAUGGGCAGUUGCACUUGAAAUCUUUGUGGUUGUUCAUGUCUAAUGGGCUGUCCUUGUCGUUCGUGAUCGUGUCUGAUGGGCUGCUGCACUUGUUGCGGCACUUGCCGUGGUUGCUCACGUAUAAUGGGCCGGACUUGUUGUGGCUCUUCGCGUAUGAUGUUGCGCAAAUCCCAGAUUGGGCAGGAACAUGUUGGUUUCUUGUUCUUCCAUUCAGCCCCACAAGUAUAGCAGAACUCAUAUCCACAUCUACAAAGACAAUGCAAGUACAGGACAAACCACAAGAAUUAGUAACUUGGUAUAAAGUUGAAAGUGCAGGCGGCAGCAGCGAAUACAUAAACACUUGAACAAUUUUCUUAUCUUGUAGGGUAACCACUUCGUUUCUUAGAUACAAGUCAAAAGAAGAAAAAUGUGCUGCAGCAAUCAAGAAAAUAUAUAAUUACUAGAGGCAAAGAGCACAAAAGUUAGAUGGGGUACACGUGAUUGUAUGGAUAUAAUCAGGAUACAACAAAACCAAAAAUCAGAAUGUCAACAUGAUUGGGUGGUGACCCUGUACUCAUAUAUAAUAACUCAGGAAUUUUUUUGCUACAUUCAUUAGCUAUAUCCACUCUUGCACUCAAGUUGUUAAUAUGAGCUACCUAGAUCAUCUUGCUAUAAUUGGGUGUAUAUGGAAUUUGAUUGCUUUACUGAACAGUGAACACAUAUGAGUACUAGUUUUAAGGCUUCACGAAAGAUGACAAUAAUAAGUCAAUAAUAUAGAGGUAAGAAAAAGACAAAAGUCAAAUAAAAAAUUAGGAGAGAAGGGGAGGUUAGUAAAUCACCUGCAAGUAAUGUGGUAACAACCUUCUGCAAGUUCAACCAUAUUCUUGCACUUAACACACUGGCGCCAGUGUUUCUUUGUAGCCAAAGAUUUCAGCAACUGAUCUUCUUGACCGGGAUAGGGAUUUGAUCUUUUGUAAUCAUAGCAAGUCAUAUUGGAAUGCCAAGGGACCUUGCAAUUGAUACAAAAAUAGGAAUGACAUUUCAUGCAUCUUCUGGCUCCAGAUUGUUCAGCACCAGCAUAAAAGUUGCUUGUAUAUUGUAAGACUUCCGAUUUGGACAUCAAUGCAGAACACCUGGGAUUUGGGCAAUAAACUUUCUCUGUGACAGGAAUAGAAGAUUCCUUGAUUCUUUGGCUCAUAACCUCAACUAAUAUAGGUGCCAAGAAUUGUGUGCAACUGUCAAUACUGACCUCAGUAUUACAGCCUUCAUGAGGGCACUGUGCCACCUGCCCAUUAAGCAACUUAACUUCUACAUGCUGUUUCAUACAAGAAAAGCAGUACCUGUGCAGACAACCAUCAAUCGAAAACAUUUGACCAACAUUAGUGUCCUCAAAACAAAUUACGCAAGUCUCCUUCAAAGAUUUUCCAUUGCUAGUUUCUGCAGGCCAGGUGAUUUGAGAAACCAUAGCCUCUCUUGCAAAUUGAAAGGCAAAUUUAAUGUCACUACGUGCCACAAGAGAAGGACUGCAAUAUUCAAAUUUUCUUCGUAUACAUCCCAGUUGAUUGACUAAUGUGGCAAUCUUGCUGUUCCCAGGAACCACUCUGCCUGUAACCUGAAAUUAUGAGAAAUAACUCCUUUAUAUCAGCAACAUGAAAGAAGAGUUUUAGUUUCUCAGCUUUUAAUCAGAAACAAGAAGUUUAAAAUAUCAUGUGUAUCCUGUGGAAUAGAAAUAGCACGCGCGCGAGCACACACACACAUAUUCAUACUGCAAUGACAGAACAAUACAUCCUGAACUUAAUAAACUUCCAACAACAUGAUAGUACACCUUAAUGACUGCAGCAUUGCUAAGAGUGAAAUUUGAAAUUCUACUCCAUAUUUACUGCUGAAAGUGAAAUUUGAAAUUCUACCCUAUAUUUAGUUAUUUACUAGUAAUAAGGGGCAGCAAACUCGAAAAUGAUUAGCCGAGCAAUUUUGAAAUUUUGUUAAUAGUUUUAUUAAGAUAAUUAUUGACUCCCAAAAAUUUCAAGUUGUAUGGAGAGGACCUUACAGCCUCUGCACAAAACUAACUUCAAUGGUGCCAUCAGUAAAUGGCAUAAUACCAAAUAACAGAAGCCAACCACAAAACAACCAAAAACCAAGAAAGAAGACCAGACUGAUGUUAUUCGUUUCGUCACACUUCUCAUAGCUGUCCUCUGGAAUUGUGUUUUCCCUACAUAACUUAUCAAACUUCUAAACCAACCAAAAACACAUUUACUUCCCCUGGCCAAGCCACCAAAGAUUGUAGCAAGGACUACAGAGCAGCAAUCGAACAGAAAUUAAACCUAAAAUUCUCAAAAAAGAAAGAAAAAUUCCAUGUGAAUUAGUGAACAUCUAAUCAGCCAGAAAAAUAAGAACACACAAUGACAGAAAAAGAUUGACAUUUUUCAAGACGUAUGAUGCUAGAACUCUCAUAUUGGUAAAAAUGUGGUCACCACAGAAUAAAAAGAUGACAUCUUUGGCUCAUAAUGAGGGCUUUGUUCUACUACGAAACCCACUUUCCAAAUCCACAUCCAAGCCUACCAAUUACACAAGUUUAUCACAUCCUAACCAAACCAAAAUUAACAAAGAUUAGAAAACCAAGGAAGUUAUAUUGAACAUCGACAUCGAAAAAUAAAUAAACAAACAAUUAGCUAGCAAAACAAGAACACAGAAUAAAACAAAGAGCUUUACUUGUUGCUAAAAACUCACAUAUUGGUAAAGCAUAUAACCAUCACAGAAAAAAGUCAAAGUUUUCAACUCAAGAGUGAGAGCAGUCUCAAGCCCUUCAAUGAGAGCCUGAAGCUCCACAGCCUCAUUGCUCCUCACCACACCACCAUCAAACGCCUCCAGAUUCUUCCUCGCCUCGAAAAUCAGAUUAUCUCUCGGGUCACAAAUCGCAACCCCAGCCCCAGCCACCACCACCUUCGAAUCCCUAACCACCUCUUCCCCGACCAAACCCUUACAAUACAGCCUCAAACACUCACUCUCCACCGCCGACGACGACGAAGCGCCGUCGCCGCAGUACGGCUUCUCGUAGUGAUCACCGUACUUGCUCCAGUAGUCCUCCGGGACGUUGCGGACCUCGGCGGCGAAAUUCUGGUCGUGAAUUCGCCGGUCGAGGUCUUCUUUCGCCUUGCGGAUUUCGAAGAGGGAGCGCUCGUGGUCUUGGUAUUCCUGCGCGAAUUUCUCGAUGUCUUCGAGCAUCAGCGCGGCGGCGAGGUCGAGAACGUCGUCGUAUUCGUCGUGGAUGGGCGGCAGAGGAGGGGGAGGAGGAGGAGGGAGGGAAGAGGAGGAGGGGAGGUGGUGAGAGAGGGAGGCGGUCAUGGCUUCCUGCAUUUGGAGAGAGAAGGCGAUGUCGAGGUCGGAGUCUAGGGUUUUGGCGGCCAUGAGUUCUCGGGGUUGCUCCGAGAGAAUGGUGUGGAGGUCGUUUGUGUACGCCGGGGUCGCCGCCAUGGUUUAGAGAGAGAGUGAGAGGUUUCGGGGUGAAAGCGAAACGAAAUAAGAGAGAGAGGUUUGUGCUAGAGAAUAAAGAGAUACUCCUGUUCAAAAGUAAAUAAAUAAAUAAAGAGACAAAAGGAAUAUUUCCAAAAAAUAAAAUAAAAGGAGACAGAGUUUAGUACCAUUUGGUUUAAAUCUCUAACGGCAUAAUCUCUUAUCUUCUCUUAGUAGGUAGGAGAUUGUGAGAUCGACUCGUGAAGUUGUAAUAUUUUUGUUUUAAGUAUGCAACUGGGAAAAAAACAAAAAAAGAAGAAGAAGGAAAAUGAACCGCAAUGGAAGAGUUAGUCAAGUGGAAACAUGUUAUGUUAUAAGGUUCAUUCAUAUGUUGUCUAUAGUUUUGCUACAAAUCAAUGAAUUUUCAUUCUCGUAGUAUAAUUGUUCUCUGUUAAACAGUGACAAGCGUGGCUUGUGAAUCACAUUGUACUGAUAUUGUCCCAACUUAACCACUUUUAAGGUGUUAGCUAGGUUUUAAUCAUAAAAGACAUUGGUACAAUUGGAUAAGAUCCAUCCACUUAUAAGUUAUAUUUUAUUUGUCAAUUUUCUGAUGUGAGAUCUAUUCCUCUCUAUUACUUCCAACACGCCCUCUCACGUGCAACCUGACUCAAGGUCAACACGUGGAAUGAAUCAGGACAGAACGAACCAAGGGACACUUGGUGACAAUCCAAUCGGAACAUUCCAAUGGUGAGAUGAGAAGUCGGAACUGAGCGGGAGAAUAGAAUCUCGGACCGGACAAGAGAAUGAACCCAAAUCGGGUCCAUGAGAAUUGGAGAAGUAAUUGGAGAGGAACCCACUCUGAUACCAUAUUAAACAGUGACAAGCGUGACAUGUGGAUCACAUUGUACCGAUAUUGUCUCAACUUAACCACCUUUACUUAACCACAUUUUUAACCACCUUUACUUAACCACAUUUUUAAGGUGUUGGGUUUUAAUCACAAAAAGUCUCGGUACAAUUGGACUCAAGGUCAGCACAUGGAAUGAAUCGGGACGGUAUGAACCAAUUGUCCCUUGAUGACAAUCCAAUCGGGACAUUCCGAUGGUGAGAUGAGAAGCCGGAACUGGGCGGGAGAAUAGAAUCUCGGACCGGACGAGAGAAUGAACCCAAAUCGGGUCCCAUGAGAAUUGGAGAGGAACCCGCUCUGAUACCAUGUUAAAGUGACAAGCGUGGUCUGUGGAUCACAUUGUACCGAUACUGUCCUAACUUAACCACCUUUAAGGUGUUGGGUUUUAAUCAUAGAAUGUCUCGGUACAAUUGGAUAAGAUCCAUCUACUUAUAAGUUAUAUUUUAUUUGUCACUUUUCUUUAUGUGAGAUCUAUUUCUCUCCGAUACUUCCAACAUUCUCUACUUCUCUUGCAUCUGACAAUAGAAAUGGUAAUCCUCCUUAUCAUUGUCGUAUAAUGCUGCGAUCAUCCCAGAUUGCGCAGGAACAUGUUGGUUUCUUGUUCUUCCAGUCAGCUCACAAGUACAGCAGAACGAAUUGGUAUGAUUAACAUUACCACAUCGGUUCCAAAAUAAUGAAUUUUGGAAUUCGCAGAUAUAAAUGCUUUAAAACAGUUGCCACAGAAAAGAAGAGAAAUCAGCAAAAUGCAAGUCUAAAUCAGAAGUUGGAAACAGGUGAACUAACUGAUUUCCCCAAAUUUCAGUUUGUUUGGGACUGGACAUUGCAGCUUCUACGUACAAAACUAAGUUAGCAGACUCCAAUGGACUUCAGUUUCUCCUUCAAUUCAAGUGAACCAUAGCAACUUAGUUAGAGGAAAGCUUUCUCAUCAAAAUGAUAAGAAAGGUUGUUUGAAUUCUUUUUUUCUUUUUUCCAGCGAAAGCAAAGAUAUAAAGAUGUUCCCUCUUCAUGUGAUUUAUUGCAUACUGAUGUUCAAAUAUUGAGAAUCGAUAGAAAAUAAAUUGCUCAACUUCCCUAUCUGGUAGUUCCUACCGUUAUGUUCCACUUCUAGCUUUCCCAUCAGUGUCAUGUAUACACUAUACAACAUUUUGUACUUGAAUGCUGAUGCAUUAACCUCUUACUGAUGACAUUGACAAACUUUCACUUUCAUUUCCCAUUACAAUAUCAUACAUUUCCUUUGAAGAGGACAUACAUAAAACCUACUAAUGUGUCCAGAGUUAACAAAAACAGGGGCAUUUAUCACCUCAUGAACGGAUAACAAAAACUGAGCCAUAUUACAACUUAUGCUCAUCUACCCCAUUUCCGCAACACAAAUCCAAAAGAAGAAAGCAAAAGCUGACUGGCUAGUAGCAUAACCAUGAUCAUACAAAUCUGACAAAAGUUGGCUAAUCCUGAUCAUCGUCGUGGUCGUACCUGUCGUGGCUGUUCAUUUUGAAAUAACUGUCUUUUUCCUGGUAAAACUUGUCGUGGCAGCCCAGGUACAUUACGCUGCACUUGACGUGGCUGCUCAUGUAUAAUGGGCAGCACUGGAUGUGGCUGCUCAUGUAUUAUGAAGCGCUCAUCCCAGAGUGGGCAGGAACAUGUUUGUUUCUUGUACUUCCAUUCAGCUCCACAAGUGUAGCAGAACUGAUGUCCACACCUAUGAUAACAAACCACAAGCAUUGGUUUAGGAACAAAUGUGAAAUAGCAGCUUCCAGAAAAGAACAAGUGAAACUAAGGUGAGACACUGACAGGAGCUUUUUAUAGGCAAAGUUUGCUAACAAGUACAAUCAUAAAUCACAAUGGAUGUGCAUAUUAACCAGCAUAUAUCAGCUCUUUCUGGUGGUUGGAUGGUAAUGCGGAUUUCACACAUAAGAACAUAAUCUUAUAACAGUAAGAUUGAUAGUCGGAUUCACUCUCACAUUCAAGUUGUAACGAACAGCAGCUUGAGCUGACCUAAGUGUCUUAUGAUACUUGUGUUUUCAUGUUGUUUCCUCACUAACUGUUGGUGCAAAAAAUUUCGGGAGAGAGAUUACCCAACAUAAAUCACUCUCCUUUGAUUCUUGAGAAGCCUUGGACGCAUCCGUAUUGCGAUUGAUCAUAGGGAGAAGGUACCUACAAAACAAAUACACACUCCGACGCUCAAGUCAAUUUCGAUUCAAGCAGGUACAAUAAAAGAAAUCGGUUCGAUAUUUAUUACCGUUCUUAUCCAUAAUUGUUCCUCCCCAUUCUCCUCUUAAGCAUGUGAAUUUAUAGACCUUUUAUUUCUUGGUCCUCACUUCCCGUUGUAGUGGGAGUAGUGGGAGGAGCAUGUUCUCCAUGAACGAUCAUGUUUCACGUCAUUUAUCAUAAUAGUGUUCAUCUUGGGCUUUGACCAUCGAUUGGGCCUAAUUCAUUAAGUGGGGGCCCAAGCCGAAAUUUUAUACCCCCACAAUGCCCCUUUUUUCCUUUCCGUACGAGCUCCGAGUGCGGGAAGGAAAAACACAUAAAAACCAAACAUUUGUAUAUGAGGAUAAAUAGGAACUACUACAUGUUUUUACUAACUCUUGGAGAAUGAUUAGAAUAUCAUAUAAUGUUUCGUGAAUUUCGAAUCAUUUAAUGUCCGGGGACGAAUAUCUCAUGAAUUUUGAAUCAUUUACUGUCUCGUGGACUACGUAUCUUUUAGUGUUUUAAUGCCUCCGUGGAGGUCUCACAAAUCGAAAAUCAUGUCAUAUGCAAUAGCAAAAUAAUUACGACAAACUUUAUAUAAUGCCAUAACUUUAACUUGCCUUCAAAAGAUAUUGCCCCCAAUUGAAGCUUUUGUAGUGCCGAUCUGCUUCUAGCAUUGAAUAGCUGAAAAAUUGAAACCACGCCAUAUACUAACACAAAAUUCCACUAAAGAUAUGGGUUAGAGAAAUUGGAAGAUUAGAAGACAGAUGAGACUCAUUUGAUGUUGCCUCCAUUGAUCAUAAACCAUUCAAAUAUUCAAUCAAUUGUCACACAAAGCUGUACAUAGAAAACACCACAAGAGUCAGUAGUAUACCAACAUACAUAUGUAACAGAAGAAGUACCUCAUUUACUAAUAUUACUUCAUCGUUGAAAGUACUUCAUACAUUGAGUUUACAUGAUCGGUACUUAUAUGUUUUGCAAAAACUGCAAGUAUUUGAGCAAUCAUAAUGAAAUCAAAUACAUACACAGAUUGUUCUAAACACAUAGAAUCAUUUAUAAACAUCGAUCGACCAUAAGCAUAAUCAUGGAUAACAAUAUGCACUUAGUUUUUAAGACCUGGAUCUACUUGUUUGAUAUAUCAUGCUAAGAGUGGCAUUUCUAAUGUCAAAGUAGCAAUUACUCUUAUCUAUGAUAUGAAUGGCAAUGCAUGAUCUAAACACAUAUACAUGUUAACAUACGAUUCUGAUGCAAAAGAAUAGAUUCUUUGAUCAAGUAAAAGACAAAUCUCGUUAUUUGACUACCUAUUCAAAUUAAUCAAUAGAUAUUUGUAGAUUGAUCAAAGAUCAUGCAUAUAGCUAGGAAGCCACAGAAUUUACCAUAAAUAUUACAAUCUAAAAGAAAAUACAUGAAAGAUCACACAACACACAACACACAAUGCACUGCAUGUAUAAGAGUACCAAUUUUGUUUUCAUACAAAAGAAACAAAUUGAUUCAUGCCAUGAGUAGUAACGUCUAAACUUGUCUCUAAAGGGAAUCGAGAUGCUACAUGAAUUCAUACUUCUAAGAACUCCAGAACUUGCAUAUAAAAGACACACACAAUCACAAUACCCCAUAUAAAAAUUACACUACACUUAACCUGCCAAACCUGUGAUGAAGAUUAAGUCACCAUUUUGAAGAUAACACCUCUCUCACCAUGCAAUUGUAUUGGUCCAAUCCCUUAUCUGGAAGGACGCUGAAUUUCUUCCCCUUCCGUUCCCUCGGCUCGUUUCGCGUUUGGGUUAUACAAUUAAAUCGCUGCAUGCAUCACAUCAUUCCAGUAUUUCAAUUUCAGUUUGACAAUCUUAUUGGUCAGCUGCGUUCAGCGACGAGCUACCACACAACCAAUAAUAUCCUGCUCAGAUGUUCUGCCAGGUUAUUUGUGUCUUGUGUGAUCAUUCUCUUCUCCUUUUCAUACAGACACAACAAAAUUAUGUAUACACUCAAUUAUGUAAAUGAAAUUCAAAGCAGUAGUAUGGAAGAGUUUUCUUAUCGUUCUAAAGGAAUUUGUUCUGCCCCUAUUCUAGCUUGAUAUACGCGUCGAUGGUACCAAGCGACGUCCCGCAUAGAAUGUCAACACUCUUGCCCUAAAUUUGAUGUGUGCGUCCAUGGCUCCUCUACUAUAAUCUCGCGGCUUUUUGUUCAAUUCCCACAGACGGCGCCAACUGUUGAUGCAAAAAAAUUCAGAAGAGAGAUUUCCCAACAAAGAUCUCACUCCUUUGAUUCUUGAGGAGCCUUGGACGCAUCCAUACGACGGUGAAUCUAGGGGAAAGAGGUACCUGCAAAACAAAUACACACUCCGACGCCCAAGUCAAUUUCGAUUGAAGCAGGUACAAUAAAAGAAAUAGGUUCGAUACUUAUUACCGUUGUUAUCCAUAAUUGUUCCUCCCCAUUCUCCUCCCUUCCUCUCCAUAAGCGUGUGAAUUUAUAGACCUUUUAUUUCUUGGUCCUCACUUCUCGUUGUAGUGGGAGUAGUGGGAGGAGCAUGUUCUCCAUUAACGAUCAUGUUUCACGUUGUUUAUCAUGAUAGUGUUCAUCUUGGCCUUUGACCAUCGAUCGAGCCUAAUUCAUUAAAUGGGGGUCGAAGCCGAAAUUUUAUACCCCCACAAUGCCCCCUUUUUCCUUUCCGUACGAGCUCCGAGUGCGGGAAGGAAAAACACAUAAAAACCAAACAUUAGUAUAUAUGAGGACAAAUAGGAACUACUACAUGCUUUUAAUAACUCUUUUAAAAUGAUUAGAAUAUCAUAUCAUGUUUCAUGAAUUUCGAAUCAUUUAACGUCCAGGGACGAAUAUCUCAUGAAUUUCAAAUCAUUUACUGUCUCGUGGACUGCGUAUCUUUUAGUGUUUUAAUGCCUCCGUGGAUGUCUCACAAAUCGAAAAUCAUGUCAUAUGCAAUAGCGAAAUAAUUAGCAAAAUUUUUAUAUAAUGCGAUAACUUUAACUUGCCUUCAAAAGAUAUUGCCCCCAAUUGAAGCUUUUGUAGUGUCGAUCUUCUUUUAGCAUUGAAUAGCUGAAAAAUCGAAACCAACACAAAAUUCCACUAAAGAUAUGGGUUAGAGAAAUUGGAAGAUUAGAAGACAGAUAAGACUCAUUCGUUGUUGCCUCCAUUGAUCAUAAACCAUUCAAAUAUUCAAUCAAUUGUCACACAAAGCUGUACAUAGAAAACACCACCCCAGUCUGUAGUAUACCAACAUACAUAUGUAACAGAACAAGUACCUCAUUUACUAAUACUACUUUAUCAUUGAAAGUACUUUAUACAUUGAGUUUACAGGAUCGGUACCUAUAUGCUUUGCAAAAAUUGCAGGUAUUUGAGCAAUCGUAAUGAAAUCAAAUACAUACACAGAUUGUUCUAAACACAUAGAAUCAUUUAUAAAGAUCGAUCAUAACCAUAAUCAUGGAUAACAAUAUGCACUUAGUUUUUAAGACCUAGAUCUACAUGCAUAUAUCAUGCUAAUGUUAAAGUGUGUAUGAAACUCACUCAAGUAGCAAUAAUUACUCUCAUCUAUGAUAUCAAAUUAUCAAUGGCAGUGCAUGAUCUAAACAUAUAUACAUGUUAACAUACGUUUAUGAUGCAGAAGAUAAGAAAAAGAACAGAUGCUUUGAUCAAGUAAAAGACAAGUCUCGUUAUUUGACUACCUAUUCAAAUUAAUCAAUAGAUAUUUGUAGAUUGAUCAAAGAUCAUGCAUAUAGCUAGGAAGCCACAGAACUUACCAUAAAUAUUUCAAUCUAAAAGAAAAUACAUGAAAGAUCAUACAAGACACAAUGCACUGCAUGUAUAAGAGUACCAAUUUUGUUUUCAUACAAAACAAACAAAUCGAUUCAUGCCAUCAGUAAUAAGGUCCAACUUGUCUAAAGGGAGUUGAGAUGCUACAUGAAUUCAUAUAUACCUUCAAGAACUUAAACACCAACCAAUUGAGUUAUUGAAUAUGGUUCAGAACUUGCAUAUAGGAGACACACUCAAUUCAUCAUAACAUAUUAAAAAUAGCAUUCGACUCAACCUGCUAGACCUUCUUCUCUAACAUAGAGCCGAAUUCAUUGAUCAUGUUUAGAAUUUCAAAUCAUUUAACGUCCGGGGACGAAUCAUUUAAUGUCUCUUGGACUGCAUUUCAUUUACUGUCUCUUGGACUGUGAUAUCAUUUACUGUCUCUUGGACUGCGAUUUCAUUUACUGUCUCUUGGACUGCGGUUUCAUUUAUUGUCUCUUAGACUGCGAUUUCAUUUUAAUGUCCGGAGACGAAUCAUUAUCAUUGAAUGCCUCAAAGGAGGUCUUAAAAUCAAAAAUCAUGUGAUAUGGGUAUAAGCAAAAUAAUUAUGAAGAUCGAAUUUAAUAUAAUGCGAUAACUCUUAUUCAUAAAUAAGAGUUUUUCAUUCACCUCCCUUGUCAAGAUACCGUUACGAGUUUAGCUACGACUCUGUCAAAACAUGCUGCCCCAAUCUUAAGCAUUUGUAAUGUCAACUUGUGUUCACCAGUGAAUACCUGAAUAAUCGAAACAUUCCCAUAGGCAAACACAAAAUUCCACCACAGCUGCAACAUUCACCAGUAUGUUAUACCCCCACAAUUGUGGGGGUAUAAAAUUUCGGCUUAGGCCCCCACUUAAAUAAUUAGGCUCAAUCGAUGGUCAAAGCCCAAGAUGAACACUAUCAUGAUAAAUGACGUGAAACAUGAUCGUUCAUGGAGAACAUGCUCCUCCCACUACAACGAGAAGUGAGGACCAAGAAAUAAAAGGGCUAUAAAUUCACAUGCUUAAGAGGAGAAUGGGGAGGAACAAUUAUGGAUAACAACGGUAAUAAGUAUCGAACCGAUUUCUUUUAUUGUACCUGCUUGAAUUGAAAUUGACUUGAGCGUCGUAGUGUGUAUUUGUUUUGCAGGUACCUUCUCCCCAUGAUCAAUCGCAAUACGGAUGCGUCCAAGGCUUCUCAAGAAUCAAAGGAGAGUGAUUUAUGUUGGGUAAUCUCUCUCCCGAAAUUUUUUGCACCAACACUAACCAACCAAAAGAUAAUUUUUCUCUCUACAAAUAAGCUAACUGUAUCUAAUGACAAAGAUCAUAGGACAACCAAAAUAUAGGUCAAAUAGGAUGAGAGAGAGAGAGAGUAAAGCACCUGCAAGUAAUGUGGUUACAACCUUGUGCAAGUUCAACCAUGUGGUUGCACUUAUUACAGUUGCGCCACUGCUUUUUUCUAGCCAGUGAAUUCAGUAGUUGAUCUUCUUUGAGGGGAAAUGGAUGUGAAUUUUUGUACUCUUCGCAGCUCAAUUUGUAAUGCCAAGGAACCAUGCAUUCAAAACAAAAAUAGUAAUGACAUUUCAUGCAUUUCCUAGCUGCAGAUUCUAAGGCACCAGCGUAAGACGUUUUUGUAUAUUCAAAGACCUUUUUGGACAUUAAGGCAGAACACUUGGGGUAAGGUCAAUAUACUCUCUCUCUAACAGGAAUAGAAGAUUCCUUGAUUCGCUGGCUCAUAACCGCAACAAUAUUAGGUGCCAAGAAUUGUUCAUAGCUAUCGAUAUUCACCUCAGAAUUACACGCUUCAUGUGGACACUGCGCCAACAUCCCACUAAGCAACUUUACUUCCACAUGUUUUUUCAUACAAGAAAUGCAAUACCUGUGCAGACAACCAUCGAUUGAAAACAUGCGAGCAACAUCAGUUUCUUCAAUACAAAUUGCACAAGUCUCCUUGAAACUCUUGCCACUGUGAGUUUUUACACACCAGCUGAUCUGAGAAACUAUAGCAUCUCUUGCAAAUUUAAAAGCAAACUUUAUUACACUAGGUGCCACAAGAGAAGGCCUGCAAGAUUCAAAUUUUCUUUGUAGAAGAGCAACUUGAUUGACUAAUGCUGCAAUCUUGCUGUUCCCAGGAAUCACUUCGUUUGUAACCUGUAUUCAUGAAGUGCAAUCCUCUUAUAUCAGUUGCACAAUAAAAGUUCUCUGUUAUCCAGAGCAGGUUUUAUUUUAUAAAAUACAAACAUGACAUAUCCAUAUGCGAUAUCUUACAGAACACAGAUACACAGGACAUGAUACAUUGGUGAAAGUGAAUUUGAAUACUAAUAGCUAGCAAGAAACCAAGGACUCAAGUAGUCUUGAUGCAGGGACGUUUGUCAAGAUAUACCUGUACCAAAUUCAAGUUGUUUGGAAAUUGACAAUACAUCUUUUGCAUAUAUAAUUGAAAGUAACACCCAAAGCACUAGCAGUGCUCCAAAUCAAGGAACUUAUUUAACUCUCAAAAUAUCAUCAUGUUGAGGAGUUCUUCGAGUGAAAAUACAUUUUCCAUGCAUCUAUUAUUUACUCAACUACACUUCAAGCUUUAUUGCCUUGCAGUUCAACUAGUUAACCAAUGGAAUUGCUCAACCAAGAAUUCAAGAACAACAAAUUUGCCAAUUAAUUAGUAAUGUCCAAUUGAAAUCGUUAUAUCGAACAUCUCAUACAGUCAUACUCUUCCAAUUUCAUCCGUAGUUCAUUAGCCAAAACCGAUGGAGCCUAAAACCAAGCAUUUCAUUGAAACCCAUAACUAGCCCAGACAGGUAAUAAGGAACAAAGUGUAAAAAAAAAAUUCAACAAAGGGUAAAAUUAAGACUCACAUAUUGGUAAAGCUUGUCGUUAUCAAUGAAAAAGGUGACAUUUUUCAAGUCCAAUGUGAGAGCUUUACUCAGCCCUUCACACAGAGCCUCCAGCUCCGCAGCCUCAUUGCUCAUAAUCUCGCCCUCAAUCAACACUUCUAGAUUCUUCUUCGCCUCGAAAAUCAGAUUAUCUCUAGGAUCACAGAUCGCAACCCCAAUCCCACUCACGUUCUUGAUCAUCUCUUCACUGAUCAAGCCCUUACAAUACAAUCUCAAACCCUCAGCUUUCGAAGACGACGACCCGUCCGUACAGUACGGCCUUUCGUAUUCGUCUCCGUACUCACUCCAGUACUCCUCCGGCAAGUUUGAGACGUCGACCGCGAACUUCUGGUCGUGAAUACGACGGUCGAGAUCCGCCUUGAGCUUCUUCACCUCCAAAACGCUGCGUUCGUGGUCCUCGUACUCCUGAGGAAACCUCUCCACGUCUUCGAGCAUGAACGCUGCGGCGAGGUCCAAGACUUCGUCCUUGGGCUCGUACGGCGGCGACGGAGGCGGAGAGCGGGAAGUACUGGAGGAGGGUUGGAGAGCCAGAGAGGCGGUGAGGGCCUCUUUCAUUUGAAGAUUGAAGGCCAUGCCGAGGUCGGAGUCUAGGGUUUUGGCCGCCAAGAGCUCACUACGCUGCUCGGCCAGGAUGGCCUGGAGGUCUUCUGCGUCUCCACGAUCGUCCAUGAUUUCUGUUUCGCAGAGCAGUGUGGUAUGGACUUUUUCGCGCUUCUUGGGAAAUGAAGUAGAGCAAAAAUAGUAGCAUUAGCUUCUCAGAGAAGGAAGGGCAGAGAUGGUCUUGGGAAACCAGAGUUGAUUGGAUUUCAACACGUAGAGACUUGUCUAAUCUCACUAGCUAGCUCCAAGACUACAACCAUGGUAGUCAUCUUUACUUUCUUUCGUCGGAAAAAACCAGUUUGCACUAAAACGACGUCACUGUGUGCUCGACGUCACUAGUUUUAUAGACUAAUUCAGGAUUUUUUUUUAUUAUCAUCCGAUCGUUUUGAAUUUUAAAUUGUUAUACGAUCGGGCGACUCACGACUUGUUCUAUGUCAUACAAAUAUGUAUAACAGCCGAAGCCAACUAAUUUGUGGUUAUCAAUAACAGAUUACGAUUAAACAACAAUCCAUGUUAACAAAAUUCGAACAAGAAUGUGAGUACACAGUACCUAAAAUAUUUAAUAACUUGAUCAAUUGUUGUGGUUAUUACUAGUUGUAACUACCGCAGACAUUACAAUACCGGCUAGUCUUUUUUGGCAAACAAUAAUUGAUGAUAAUAGCUAGUUUCUUUUUUUUUGAUACGAGAUGAUAAUAGCUAGUUAGUACGAUAGAGCUAUCUAGCUAGAAUGCUAGAUACUGUGCCAAUAUGGUUAGCCCAAGUGAAUGUUCAUUCUAAGAAUCUAAAUAUAGUUGGCCAGCAAUUUUGGGUGAACCGUGACAACUCCAUCUCCUGCCGCCUUUAACAUGAGGAUGAUCAGUAACAGCUCCAGACCAGGCAAACGUAUAUGUAGUAUUUGCCGACUCCUCAAUGCAAUGCUUUACAUAUAGAGUUUCAGACUGAAGAAACAAAAUAAAAACCUUAUAAUUUAGCAUCAUUUGUCCUCAAGUUCUUUACCCUUCCGAUUUACUAUAUAUUUAACUAGAUAUUAUGCGGCCUCGCACCGCCUUACUGUUCCCGUGAACAGUGUAAUUUGGGCUUGGGCUUUUUCUUUUCUCCCUGAUCUCUCACUCGGGCUUGGGCUUGAGUCUCCGUAUUCUGGUUUUUUUGUUGCUCCCUCUCAAUCUCUCUCGAAACUCCACCGAAUCGUCUUUUCUUCGUCCCUAUGAGUCCUCUUCCUCUUCUUCGUUCCUGCCCUUUUCGAAAGGAGAAGAGAGAUCGCUUCCUUGACCGAUCAGUUCAAUCCCUCUUUUUUCUCUGCACUCUCUGUUCUUCGUCUCUCUCUUCUUCUUUGCUCUCUCUUUUUCCUUCUCUCUCUCUUCGAUGGUCGCUCUUUAGUCGUUCUGGGUUUCUGGCAUCUUCGUCAACUGUCACAAACAGAAGAUGAAGAUGAGAGAGGGAGCAAGGUUGUUUGGUCGAGACUCGAGAGAAAGGGAGAUAAUAGAUUGUUCGAAGCUCAAAUUCGUUGCCCUGUAAGCCUCCCGGUUUCUUUCUUCUUCUUCGUUGUUUCUCUUGCGCCGAUCUUCUUCUCAAAGUAUCUGUCAAAUUUCAGUUUUCUCUACAACCAGCUGAUGGAGAGGUAGAAGAAUUGUUUUUUGGUAAUAAGAGCAAGAAGAAUUCAGGCAAGUAUUUACUAUAUACCUAUUGCUUGAUCACUGUUCAGCUACAGUAAUUUACUGUUCAUCUACAGUAAAAACAGUUUUGGGCUCGGGCCUAGUUUUUUUUUUUUUUUGCUGAAAAAAAAAAAUUAGAUUGGGCUUUGCAGUUCUCACACUAUUUAGAAAGGACCAUCUAAAAUUUGCUCUGUUCUGUUUCCAAUGAAAAGAGUAGAUUGGGAAAAGAGUGAAAGAAAGAAUCGAGGAGAAUAACAUAAGAAAUAUACUCUUACUACUAUGAUAAGUGCUUUGUUGUUAAGUAUUUCAAAUUGAAUCUAUAUAGAUCUUGCACUUUGAUACAUUAGAAAUGAGAAGAAAAGAAAAAAAAUUAUGAACACAAAUCUCGCAAAUCCCGCGGCAAAACGCGGGUCAUAAUUCUAGUAUUAGACUAAUCUUGAAAUCUUGAUCCUGUUAAUAUAACAACGGUCAUGGUAAUUCCGAUCAUCAUCAUGGCCACUUAUGCGGAAAGUAUGUACUCCUCGUCCCAGAGUGGGCAGGAACAAGGUUUCUUAUUGUCCUUCCAUUCAGCUCCACAAGUGUAGCAAAAUUGAUAUCCACAUCUACAAAGACAAUACAACCAUGAGACAAGUCACAAGCAUUAGCACAACAUAAAAGAUAGAUGCAUUGAGAGAUAACUAAAGAAAUAAGGUAAGGUCCUUGAAUUAGAUCUGUUGAUAGAGAAUUAGCAUCUUGAUCAGGUAAAACAAAAGUAUAAAUCAUAAUGAAAUCACAUAUCCACAGAUUGGCUUUUGGUCACUGGGUUAUAGUUUCCAUUUCACACAAAAACUAGAGCAACUAGCAUCCAUAUAUGUAGUUAACAUAGUUACAUGGGUAUUUAGUUGCUCAAGUUAAGCCAUCUUGAUUUCACUGAGCAUACGUAUAUCUCCAUACCGAACAAAAAAUACCCUCUUUGCUAGUGCUAACUUAUGAGAUUGGCAUGAACAGUUUAUAACUUGACAGGGGUGCACCAUAUGAAUAUGUAUUGGUCAAAUAGAAGAGUAAUGUACCUGCAAGUAAUGUGGUAACAACCUUGUGCAAGUUCAACCAUGUGGUUGCACUCAACACACUGGCGCCAGAGUUUCUUUGCAGCCAGUGACUUCAGCAUUUGAUGUUCUUUAGGGAGAUUGUGUGAUGUUUGGUAGUCAUCACAGGUCAAUCCAAAAUGCCAAGGAACCAAGCACUUGAUACAAAAGUAGUAGUGGCAUUUCAUGCAUUUUCUGGCUCCAGAUUCUUCAGCACCAACAUAAGUAGUUUUGGUAUAUUCUAAGACCUCCUUCUUGGACAUUAACGCAGAGCACUUGGGAUAUUGGCAAUAGACUCAGUCCGUAACAGGAAUAGAAGACUCUUUGAUUCGUUGAUUCAUAACCUCAACUAGUUUAGGUGCCAAGAAGAAAUUCUCAUAGCUAUCUAUAUUAACCUCGGAUUCACAGCCGUCAUGAGGACAAUGUGCCACCAUCCCAUUAAGCAACCUUGCUUCCACAUGCUGUUUCAUACAAGAAAUGCAAUACCUGUGCAGACAGCCAUCGAUUGAAAACAUUCGAGCAACAUCAGUGUCUUCAUAGCAUAUGACACAAGUCUCCUUCAAACACUUGCCAUCGCUAGCUUCUGCUUGCCAGGAGAUCUGAGAAACGAUAGCCUCUCUUGCAAGUUUAAAUGCAUACUUAAUAUCACCACGUGACACAAGUGAAAGUCUGCAGGAUUCAAAUUCUUUUUGUAGAAGAGCAGCUUGGUUGACCAGUGUUGCAAUUUUGCUGUUUCCAUUAACCACUCUGUUUAUAACCUACAAUUUUUAAAAUGUCAGUUGUCUAAUAAGUGGCACCAAUUUAGAAGUUAUAGAUACAAUGUUCUCUAUUAAGCCAAGAAGUAUACUACAUAUAGACAACAAGCUAAAAUGAAACUUUUUUCUUUUUUUUUGUUCUUUUUCUGGUAAGAGCUAAAAUGAAACAAGUCAAAAUUGGGAUUUAGGAGCAAAUGCAAGAAAUGGCUCACUUCGAGUUGUUUGCUGACUUAUGAAGUUAACUAAGUCUAAAAAUUUCAAGUACAGCCCCCUGUUCACUACCAAACCCAUAUCAAUCAUUCUGUUAAAUUCCAUAUAGUUUUUACCAACAUCCGCAGUUUUCGUACAAGCCGACACUAGCUAGUAGCUACUAUCAUGAACAUAAUACAAAUGCAAACCAAUGAUUCAAAUGAAAUCAAGUAAAAUGAUGAACAUCAAAGUUACCAACUAAAUUUAUCAAAAAAAAAGUUACCAACUAAAUAGCACCCAAAAUAGUAAAUGAACAAUCAAAAAUGUACUUGAUGCUGAGACUUACAUAUUGGUAAAGCUUGCUAUCAUCAAAGUAAAAUUCGACAUUCUUCAACUUCAGAGCAAGCGCCUUAUUAAGCCCUUCAUUCAGCGCCUCAAACUCGGCAGCCUCAUUGCUCAGUCUCUCCCCAUCAACCACAGCCUCUAGAUUCUUCUUCGACUCGAAAUCACAUUAUCUCUACGAUCACAAAUCGCAACCCCAAUCCCACCCACCGCCAUUUUCACAUUCUUCACCACUUCUUCACUAAUCAAACCCUUGCAGUACACGCUAAAACACUCCGUCUCCGCCGCAGCUUUUCCCGACGACGACGCCCCAUCCCUAGAGAACAGCCUUUCGUACUCCGACGAGGGAUUGAGCGCCAGAGAAGCGGCCAUGGCUUCUUGCAUUUGAAGUUUGAAGGCCAUGUCGAGGUCGGCGUCUAGGGUUUUGGCCGCCGAGAGCUCACUGCUCUGGUCUGAGAGGAUGACGUGGACGUCGUUUUGGUCCGUUAGGGUUUCCAUGAGGGUCUGAGAGUGAGAUUAAAGAGUAAAGUUUGGUAGAGAAGGAAAGACCAAGAGGCGGAGAAGGUCUUUUGGGAAAAUGAAAGUCCGUUCGAUUGUACUUUGAUUACCAACUUUUUGUUUCAUAUAAUCGAAAAAACAUUUUGUUUCACAGAAAAAGAAAAUUGAUUAAUUAGAGUUUUUAUUUAGUUUGAGUGUUUGACAAGCUUUGACCGUGGGCUUUUUCUUUUAAUUGAAGAAAAUACAAUUAUAACAAUAAUCCUCUUUUACAACUAAACUAAAACAAAUCAAAACGAAAAGCUUCAGCUGCUUGAAGAGGAACAACAUACGCAUCCAAACCUUAGCAUUAGGAAGCGAGCGACCAAUUACUUUAGCUAAAGAAUCCACAAAGAUUGGCUUAUCUGAAAACAUGAGAGAAGGUAACCGAGGCAAAACACUUCGCAAUAGGAAGGAUUUCCUAGACAAGAGAUCUGAGACAUCAAGGAACAAUGCUAGCAUCUUCGACACAAGGAAUGCCAACAAAGUUAUAAAAUUAUGAACUUCUAUUUCAAAGUUUAAAAUUCUUCUACAUAUCGAGGUGGAAGUGAACCGAAAGUUAUAACACAAUCUCAACUCGUUAUACGGCAAUAACACAUGUAUAGGGAUGUCAAUAAUCCCCAGCGGGUAGGGUACCCACGGGUAUUCGACCCUAACGGGGAAGAUAUACGGGUAUAAACGGGUAACGGGGAUGGGGAUCCUUAGUAUUCGGAUUCUUAAAUCGGGUACGGGGCGGGUAUGGUAUUUUGAUAUUCGUCCCCAUCCCCACCUAUUAAGGAUGAAAAUAUUAUUAUAUAUAAUUAUAUAAUUUAUUAUUAUAUAUAUUUAUAUAUAAUUUAUAAAUAAAUAUUUAUGUAAAAAAAUUUGUAAUUCUCUUAAUAAACAUUUAAUGAACCUUCCUUUUUAUUAUAUAUUUUUAUUCUCUUAAUGAAAUUUACCGGUAUUGUUAUGUUUUAACCAAGACUUGUAUUUAUUUUUAUUGGAUUGAAGUAUGAAACUUAUUUAUUUUGGUAUUUGAUUUUAAUUUCAUACUUUUAUAUAAUUGUAUUUCGUAUUUAAAAAAAAAAAUUUAAUUUAAUACAUAAUUGUUAACGGGUACGGGUACGGGUAUGGAAACGUAAUCCCCAAAGGGUACGGGUACGGGGAAUCUCCAUUAUCUAAUUACGGGUACGGGGACGGGUACGGGGAUGAAAAAUGUAAAAAGGUAUGGGUACGGUAUUUUGAUCCCCGUACCCUACCCUACCCAUUGCCAUCCCUACACAUGUACACGUAGCAGAAACACGGCUACCAGGCCCAUAGACCAGGGCAGAUACCAGCAUGGCUAGGAUGGGUAUCAACCCAUUACCCCAAGAUCAUCACGGGCUUGUAAAGAAAGUCAUAAAACAAAGUGGUAUGACAAACCAAAAUGAGACAUUUGUCCCACAUUGAAAUGAACAAGACGAAUAAACACAUGAAAGACUAUUUAGGGAGCCCUACCACCAAUCAAGAGAGGUAACGCGUGACUCCCACAUUUAUUGUUCUUUUACCGCACGUGAUUCUAGCUCUACUAUCAAAGAAGGAAAGGUCGUUGCAAGAGAAGUAAAGGAAGUCCACAAAACCCCUAUACACCAACCCUAUGGGAUCACGCAAAAAUAUUUAGAACACGUUUAUUAACUUGGAAUAGAAAUUAUCAUGACUCGGUAUUAACAACAAUGUAUUAACAAGAAUCGAGAAUAUUUCAUAUCAUUCUAUUGUUUACUUACCAUAAAGAAUCAAAAUAGGAAUGAAAUAAAUGACGAUUGAUGUGGUUUACUUAGAUGUUGUUUACUUACCGUAUGGAAUCGGAAUUAAAACUAGUUUGGUUACUAAAAUACCCAUACAAGAAAUGAAUUUAAAAUACCCUUAAAAUAUAAUAUUGUUCUAGGAUAUUCUGUAUCUUUCUAGAUAUUCUUUAUAUGUGCCUUGGCCUUAUGUCAUUAGGAUAUGUAGUUUAACUAGAUCUAUGUAUUCAUAUCCUUACCGUAUUGGUAUUGUGUAAUUUCCUAUAUAAAUGGCUCCUAUUAAUGAAUAAGAUGAUGAUUCUCUUGCUAUCUCUUUGUCUCUACACUUUAUCCUUCAUCACGUUAUCAUGCACUUUGUUCUAACCCUAGAGUCAAUAGCCCAGCAUUUGUUUUCCAAACCCUAAAAUCGGGUAGCCUUGUUUUUCCCAAUUUCCGACCAAAAUUCUGACUGCCCUUCGCCGGAAUUUUAUAUCCCCAGAAAGCUCUCUCCGUCCCGGAUCCAACGCCGCCAGUCUCACCUUAAGAACCGGCUGGAAAGUCUCCGAACCGGCAGCCGGAAGAUUUCAGACCACCGUCGCUACCGACCACGGGUUCACCACCUUCCCUUGCUCCGAUCAACCUGAAUUUUUGAAAGAAGCUUUUUCAUCUAGAGCUGCUCUUCCUAUCAAAUUUUCAGCCCCAAAUUCGAAGCAGAAGUAGGCGAAACGUUAUUUCUCCUCUCGGCAGCCUCUAGAAACCCAAACCGGAUGUUCUCGGCCUUGCCUCGGCCGCCUCUGCCGUCGUCACUUCCCGGCCAUCCACUCCGCUGCUUUCUUUUUAUCCGAUCAAGUAUUCAAGUGUUUACGGUAUGUUUAUUUUACAACCCUAAAACUCUUCCAAGUUCAAUAACCUCGAGGGAGAUAAAGUGUUUUCUCCCUUUCUUCUACUCCAUUCUAUGCUUGGGUCGGUGUAUUUGUAGGUACCAAAAAUCCCGGAAUUUUAUUCGCGGGUCAAGAGUGUGUUUGAUCACUCUUGUUUCCUUGUCCGGGUUGUGUAUGAUCAACCCCAACCUAUCACCGGAUUGUGUUUGAUCAAUCCGAGGCCUUUUUCCGAAUUGUGUUUGAUCAAUUCGGGCUUUUUCGGAUUGUGUGUGAUCAAUCCAAAGGACAAACCAUUAAAAGCAUUGUUUAUGACCUCUAUCGAGUCUCAUAACAGCUUGGUUUUGUAUGCAAGAGCAAUGUAACAUUCUGCUCCUUUAAGUUUUGACGUACUAGAUGCCUAUGGCGGAUCUUCGCUUGGUAUCUGUGGAACCUUUCAUUGGAAAGGAUUAAACCACAUGUUUUGACCCCCAGGCUAACAAGCCUAGAUGCCGAGAUUUUACAUCUCAUGCGUUCAAAGUCUUUGACGCGCCACAUCGACAAAAGCCUUCAAUGACAAUCUGUGCAAAAAGUAAUGACCACAAAGUACUGUGGAAUGCACUCAUGGAGCGUUUCUUGAAACGUUCAUAUAACUCUAUUUGUUGAGUUAUUAGUCAAGUGGAUUGCUUACCACCUUAAUUGACUACAUAUGGGUCACGGCAAUGGUAGAAAACAUCAUGCCGAUGUCUAGAAAAGAGGGGGAGGUGCCGCCGGCCCUAAUGGCGACACUCCCGGUCUAGACACCAAUUAUAUUUGUCAAAACUACUCACGUCAGCUCAUGACAAUGUAACCGUUGUGGAUCUUUGGAUCACUGGUUCAAAAUUGUCAAACUCCUUCAAACUGUGAAUGCAUACAAAAAGGUACGAAAAAUCAAUAUGAGGACAAGAACGUCAUCCUCAUGAUCGCGAAUUUUAAAGAUUUGGAUCCUGCUUUAGCUACCCAUGACUUUGACGUCAUCGGCUAGACAUUGAUUUUCGUUCCAAGCUAUAUGUACUAAGGCGUUGUAUCGACGUCCUUCGUCUAUUUGUGACCUCGAUGUACUCACAUUAGCAAUAAUGAAUGCCUUGAGAAUUUUUUCGAAGUUAUGAAACUAUUCUCCUCUUAUGGUUCGUAUUGAUUAACAAAAAAGAUGUACAUUCUUACAUCGUCCUUAGAAACAUGGCAUAUUGUGCCGAUUUUGAUCCCUUCAUUUGAAGGUGACUCAUGGCACCGCAUCCUCAAGGAGGAUCGCCCACGUGUUUCCGGUUAAGUCUUCUACCCUAUAGCGGAUUUUUCAUCAUCAAUUGUUCAACUAGGCUCAUCCAAGCUCAGUGUGAUGUCUUAAAAUUGUCCGAAAUUAAGGAGAUAGUGGUUUCAAGUGUGCCUCGCACUACCGACCCUCCACGAACAUGCCUGGUCAUACUGACUUGGAGUUACCGAAGGCUUUUGAUUUUGGAUCCCCUUACGCUAUUAAACCAAUUGCCGUCUUGCAAAAGACGUUGAAGACUUAUCAAAACCGGAAAAUUAUCAUCAUGAUCUAAUCCUCUAGGUCUUCUGAGUUAGUUUAUGUUCAUGUCAGGGAGCUUUUGCUAACUAGUCAUGUAGUUUACGACCUUAGAACGACCGAAAGGACUUGGUUUUGAUCAUACACACGUCACUUUUGGCUAAGGCAAAAGCUUACGCCACCUGCAAGCUUCACAGCUUCGCACAUGCCAAUUCUGCAAAAAACAGCAAUCUGUCCCUUCUAGACAGUCAACUUCGUUUGAGCUUUGUGAACAGCUCCAGACGAACCAGACAAUGAGCUUUAUAUCAUUGGAAAGCUCUAUGAGUCUAGUUUUCAGAACUUUUCGCGGUUCAUCUAUAUCUAUUUUAACGAAGAAGUUAUGGCUGUUUUAGUACGCAAAGGUCAUUCUGUGCGGAAAUUUUUAUGCACUCUCGGGAUUGCAGCUUUUUGUAGCUUCUUUCAAUCCUUCUAAAUUGUUCAAGUGGAACUAUUUACUCACCUAUCUACUCCUUCUUGUAGAUAUGUCUUAUAGAGACAUUGAGUGAUUCACAUAUAGUGGAAUUACCCACAACAUUCUAAGGACCGACAACUAUCUCUGGGUUUUGUGCCUUAUAAAUCUUCUGUGACUACAAUGAUUGAAUCAUACCGAACCAUAUUGAGCUUUAAAGACACUCCUGCUAAUAGUUUUCAUUUGAAAACACAUUGUGAGAAUGAACAAGAAUUCUUUUGUGUAUACCUUCUCAUGAAUGCGGACUGAAGCGCAUCUUGGAGAACUUCAUGAGUCAAUCUAGUGGACUGUAUGUCACUAUGAUUCGAAUAUCGAAUCCAUGUUGUCACCAAACAUGAUAUUUGGAACACUGACUCAUAUAGGCUUUGGUUUUGACUAAUUAAGGUCAUCCUGGAAGAGAUAUAAUGGCCUAAAUUUUGAGAAAUUCUCAUGGACAUCCAUUCUUUCGCUCAAAAUGAAGACAUUCGAGAUCUAACAUCACCAUGAAGCAUGGUGGUGACCCGGGGGACAUUGACGUCACCCGAACACGACUCCAACUUCCUAGAGGUCGUCCGGUCAAUUCCUCAAGCAAUUGAGGUGCACCGGCCUUCCCUCGAUGUCGCAUUGGCCCCCUGCAAUGCUCAUUGCUCGUUUUGAAAGCCUAUUCUUUAGCUAAAUUAGGAGUGAGACCCUCCUACGCUAAAUAACACAAAAGUGAACAUUUUAUUCUUACAUCAAACUAUGUAGAUAGAUACAACCAACUUGCGGACACCUUUUUAUGUUUUAUGGUGUUGGUUGAAGUGUUAACACACUAGUCACGUGUUACACUAUUAUCUACUGUUUAUGCUGCUUAUACUUCUACGGGCUCACUACCCAUUCUUUAAAGAAGUUUAUCAGGAUGUAAGUUGAAGUGUCCUGUACCCCAUGUUCACACGCAAUACGGUCUCACCGAGGCUAUGACCAAGCAACUUUAGCUUGUCGCUCGAACAUUAUUGAUGCGCACCAAUCUUUCUAUUGCGUCUUAGGGCUUUGCAAUAUUUGCAUGCAGCUUUACUAUUCUUCUACGACCCACCAUCAUCAAAUAUUUUUGUACUACAGCUUGUGACUGUGUACCAGGAUUGCAAUCCUUGAGCUCAAAAAAGAUUGAAACGGAUCUCCAAUCCUUGAGCUCGGCUAAAUGUUAUUUCUAGGUGCCAAAUCGCAUUGUCACUGCGCACAAUGAUGGGUCAUUUGAGAUGAAUAAGUAUUUAGGUUGGAUGUGAACCUCCACCUAUAAUCCGCAUAUGUAGAAACCUUGUCAGGCGAUCUCUUUCACCGCUAUAUUGCGGAUGGUCACUUUGAUGAGACAAUAUUCCCGUCGUUAGGGGGAGAUAAGAACACAAGUGUUCAAGUGGAACGACGUGAAUUGUCGUGGUUUGUCCCCACUAAGUCUCAUCUUGAUCCCAAAUACUUAAAGUGUUAAAAUGACGAGAUCACAUGCUGCAAAUAUGUCUGCAAAGAUUGAUGUCCCAUCAAGAGGACAUGGCGUGACCAAAAUGUGUUGGUCUUGACGCCAUCACCAUGAAUGGUGAUAUAGUGACGCCAUAUAGUGGCAAAAUUUGUGUCACAAGGCCGUGUGGCUCCCUAAAAGGAGGGAGGCCCUUAGGUUCGAUAUUUUCUCGCACUAGGAAGAAAGCUAGCUUGGCACAACCUGAUCCAUUGAUCAGUGAUACUCAAACCGUCUCAUGAAGUCUGAAUUGUGAUUAUCGGUGGGGGACGCCUCAAUGUCAAAUCCAAUCCAUAUAGAGAUCUCUACAAGUAUUACACUAGUGUACAUGAGGACGUGGGAUAAUGAGUCUACUAUUGAACCACCUUUCGUUGAUGGAUAUCAACUUAGUUGAUUGGCCUAAUGGAAAGAUGCGAUCCAACAUUAACAAAGAGAUAGGUCCUUCGGCAGGUGAUGCCGACACCGCAAGCUAAACCCUAUCAACUAUGUCUUUGUUAGAUAGCGUAGUGAGAACAAGAGUUUAGACUCAUCUUAUGGCGCAAGGUCUCUCACUAACACGCACUGGGAUCGACUACGAUGAGAUAUGCUCUCGUAAUGGAUAUCAUUGAACUCCACUACUUUGUCAGUUUGGUAGUUUCUGAAUAACUGAAUAUGCAGCCUAUGAAUGUGGUCAUAAUAACAUCUCUAUGGGAUCAGAGAUAUAAGGAUUUCAUUCAUCCGAAUCAAGUUGCUCCAGACCACAGGAGCACGCGUUUGCUAAAGGUAUUGAAACGCACAUGGACUAUACUUGAUUUGGAAAGGAUAUGGUGAAUUAUGUCUUUGCGUGUUCAUUCCGGAUUUACAUGGACUCUUGAUGGAUCAAGAGAUGCAAAUGCAAAUAUGUAUCAACAUCCGAAGAAAAAGAUCUUGGGAAGACACGGUCUCGAUAAACCACUCGAUGACUGUAUUGAUGAUGAUUUUCCAUCAAUCGGCUUAGGCGCUCUUACGAAAGUGAGGCCUACAUAUACUCCCAUGAUUAGUCAAGGUCUUUGCUCUAAUGAGAGAUCCGUUGUUUUGUCUAAAGCAAGAUGACAAAUAUGUGUUAAGAGAUGGAGUUCCCAUCUAAGUACAAUAAGACGCAUCAAUGUACUCAACACAAUACGAAAGACUUGACAUCUCAUUCGCUAUGAAAAUUUGUAAAGCUAAGUGUAGCUAUGCGCCCACGCAAUGCCAAUGUAAUGGCAGUAACUCCUUUUUCAAUACUUAAUGGUAUGAAAGGUUGAGGCUUAUUCUAUCCCUACAUAAGAAAGACACAUCAAUAGCGAAAUCAGAAUCUGCCAAGUUUCGUAGGUCAACUUCCACGGGACCUACAGGAAAUCUCACUCACUGGAAAAUGGUGAAAUUGGUACCAUUGGAAAUAUUUAUGUGUCUACUUUCCAGGGACACCAACCAUUUGAUCAUACCUAUCAUAUUGAGUGAGUUAUGGCCGUUUUCGUAAAGUAGGACGAAUCUGUCCGAGAAUCUGAUUUUGGCAAAACAGUCAACUUCGACGGGACUUUGUGAAUAGAUCCUAGUGAACCAGAACGAGUGUAAUAUACGGUUGGAAAGCUAAAUGAGUCUAGUUUCCAAAACGAUUUACGGUUCGUUCAUAUGUAUUUUCUAGAGGAAGUUACGACUGUUCUAGUAACUGAAGGUCAUGCUGCGCGGAAAUUUGAUUUCCUGCACGAACUUAUGUCUUCAGUUCACAAGCGGCCUUCUCCUCAAGAUCUAAGUGUAAAAGAUCAUUUGAGGACAAUACGGCAUGAUUUAGUUAAUCAUUGUCUAAUGCCACAUUUGAAAACAUGUUAAAGAGCAUUGACAUGCUAAGUUGUUGAAAUUUCCGUGAUUAGUAAGAAUCAGGAAGAGCCCUAUGAUUGAUGUAAAGAUCAGGGGGAGGUGCGAACUUCAGGGGGAGUCUAGCACAUACAUACAUGUCACUAUCAAAUGUGAAUGGUGCGUUGUACUCUUUUUCUCCUACGAUCAAGGUUCAGUUUUUCUCCCACAGGGUUUUUGUGGCUUGACGAGGUUUUUGACGAGGCAACAUAUCAGCACCAUCGGCAUAUCAGCGCGCGGCACAAGGGGGAGUGUUCUAGGAUAUUCUGUAUCUUUCUAGAUAUUCUUUAUGUGUCUUGGCCUUAUGCCAUUAGGAUAUGUAGUUUUACUAGAUCUAUGUAUUCAUAUCCUUACCAUAUUGGUAUUGUGUAAUUCCCUAUAUAAAGGGCUCCUAUCAAUGAAUAAGAUGAUGAUUCUCUUGCUAUCUCUUUUUCUCUACACUUUAUCCUUCAUCAAAUAUAUAUUUUUAGGGUUAGGUAAUUUAGAAAUGUUAUAAUUAUGUGAGGAUAUUUUAGGGAGAAAAGGUUGAUUCUAUUACCUUGAUUCUGAUACCCAUCUCCUCUCUUGGGAAUCGAAUAAGAGGUUUCGUCAAGAAUCAAUUCUUGAUAAGCAAGUGUGACCCAUAUCCAUUCCAAUACCUUGACAUGUUAGUAAACGCUGGAAUUCAUCCAUUCUGGAAUCAAUUACAGCACUCUCAAUUUCAUUUCAGGUUAAUAAACAUACCCUUAAUUAGUGUCGUAUGUGGGAUUCCUUACUUAAAGCCUGCGUGCCUCAAUCAUUGAGGGAAGCGAGCAAGGUACCCUCAGGAGGAUACAACACACACGUAUCAUUCUCCCCAGUGGUAGAUGCAUCGGGUAGCUCAAGAAUAAUGGAACAACAAUAGCGGGAGUGGUCCCCAGAAGGAGUCCCGUGGGAUUUGAUUCAGGAUGACAUAGCAGAAAUGAUGGAGAAAAUGUGAGCGGAUAUCUCCUACCUAGAAAGAGAAAGAAGGACCUUGAAGAAGCCAUGGCACGUCAAAAGCAUUAAAGAAUGAGAAUGCGGCCCUAACAAGUGCAUCAGACCGGAGAAUAGUCCAAGGUGAAACGAUCAACAGGGCCUUAGCCAACACAUCCCAACAUGAGGGAGGAAUGGAAAGUUAGGUUGCCCUAGAGAUCUGAUCGACAUUCAGGAUGGAGAUUGUUAACAUCGGUGUCAAUUAGUUCCCGGAGGAUAUGGUGAGUCAAAGACCCCCACCGCCACCGCAGUUUGUAGGAGGGCUACCAGAAGAAAUAACGCCGGGGUAGAGGCCUAACAGCCAUCAGGAGAAAGCUUUGAAGAAAGAUUAGGCCAUACUCCAGUGCCAUUUUGGAAGCGAUACAGUCCAACACAAUGAAACCGCUAAAACUAUAGUAUACUAGGGCGGGUGAUCCCUUCCAGCACCUCGACAACCUCUUUUAUGAUAUAACAGUUACAGUUUAUUAAUCAUAGUGCUUAUUUUAAGGUUUGUAAUAUUAACAUGACUCCAGUUUUUUAGGUUGUUUUUGCCUGGUUCGAUUUUUACGUAUUAUGUUCAUAUUGUGUUAUUACAUUUCCUUUCAUCAAUAAAAUGACAUUGCGUCCUGGUUUAAAAAAAAAAAUAAUAUAUAUAUAUAUAUAUAUAAUAAUUAAAACACCCGCCCAGAUGCUACUCGGGCAAAGGGAAAGCUUGAAGCGCUUAGACGUGUCGGGCAACUUCUUUAAAGACACCGGUGAAAAGUACACGUCUUAUUUGCUUUUUCAUCUCCAGCAAAGCUCCAUCGUGCACAAUUUUUUGGUAACACUGUUCUACAUGAGUAGUAUAUUAUGUGCAUACUGCCAUGAUCUGUGCUUAUCAUUAUUAAGAGAUGCAGAAACCUCAAAGCAAGUAAUUGAAGUCCAAACUACACAAAAAGAGAUCCUUAUAAUACCUGGCCAAAGUUAUAAAAGUAAAACAAUAUACAUAAUUUUCCAGUCAGUGAAAAUUUUAGAAAAUUUUAGGGGAGAAUUCUUUGGAGAGGGUAUGUCACAUAUCAAUGAUUUCCUAAUCAGAAUCAGAAUCAGGAUCCGACUCCUCUUCAUCAGAUUCACCAUCCUCAUCAUGCACAAUAUUACCUUCAUGCCAAAGAGGGCAUUUACAUGUUGCCUUCUUGUGUUUCCAUUCAGCUCCACAAUUAUAGCAGAACUCAUAAUUACACCUAAAAGAGAAAUAAAAACAAUCAGUGGAGCAUAUACAUUAUAUACAGUCGCUAGCAAACUUGAUCUUCAACAACUUAGGAUUAGGAAAUAACAAUACAGAUAAGAAUCAAAAUUUCACAAGAGUGCGGUUAUUAGGACCUCCAAAUUUGCUCAUUUGACCUCACUCUAUUAUGAAUUAUUAAAUGACAUAUUUAUCCUCUUACACAAUGACUAUUAAGGACACUAAUUAAACAAAAAGUAAUAUUACAUUUAUUCUCUCUAAACUUUCUAAUUCAAUAAUAAUGGAUUAAUGCAUUUUAUUAUUUUCCUUAUUAACUUUUAUUUUCUAGUUUUACCACAUACUUAUUAAAGCAUUUAUAUAUUUAUAUUAUCAUACAUGUCACAUGCAUAUACAAAGUAAAAAAUAUUUUUACAAAAAUCAAUUAUUAAAAAAUAAAUAAAUAAGUAUCAUAAUAUUUUUACAAAAAUCUAUCAAUUAUUAAAAUAAUUUAUCAUCAUGAGGUAUAAAAACAAAACAUAUAAACUUACAAAAAAAAAUAGUAUAUGUAAAAUAGAAAUACAAAAGUAACAAAAAUAUAGAAUAAUUCAUGUAAGAACAUUCUUUUGANNNNNNNNNNNNNNNNNNNNAUAUAUGUGAAUUACAUAAACAAGGCUAUUUUAGGAAUUUGAAAUGAGGUCUAAUGAGCAAAUGUUUAUAUUUAAAAGUAAAAUGAAGGUGUAGAGAGAAUGAGAGGUAUACUGUCCCAAUAGCCGCACUCAUUUCACAAACCAACUAGUUUGUUAACAUCAUGUUAUUCACAAAUCAAAGGUCAUCAAGCCUUACCCAUCCACUUUCAACUAUAUCAACUUUUGAUUUUCACCCUUUUCCUCAAUAACUCGUCCCACAACUGUUUCUACUUCAUAUACAAGAUUAUAUGUAAGAAAGCAGACUGUCUUAACUCUUACAAAUGUAUCACUCACUACUCUGCCCACCUUUGCUGUUACCGUCAGUUGCAAAUCAUCUCAGAAUUAUCAUUAUGGUUUACUAACUAUAAAAUGAAAAAUUAAAGCCACUAAACAUAGAGAGGGCAAGUUUAUUAAAGACAAAAGAUGGUCUUUUGCUUAUCGGGUUAUGACAAAGACAAGAGCAGUCACCAAUAUCAGAUCAGUAAAAUUACUUUUCAGACAUAUUAUGAAGUACUUGAUAAAAAAUAAAAUAAAAAUAAGAGGCAUCCACUAGAAAAGAAAUGAGUAAAUACCUGCAAGUCAUGUGGUAGCAACCUUCAAUAAGUUCAAUCAUAUGGCUGCACUUCACACACUGGCGCCAAAGCUUACUUGAAGCAAGGGAAUUUAGCUUUGUGUCCUCUUCUGGAGGAUUAGGAUUCGACCUUUUGUAGUCAGCACAUGUGAUGCUUUUGUGCCAAGGGACUUUACAGUUGAUGCAAAAACGGUAUUGACAUUUCAUGCAUCUCCUUAGUCCUGAUCGUUCCACAGCCCCCGUCAAGGUUUCCUUAGCAUAUUGUAAAACCUCACUUUUCGACAUUAAGAGAGAGCACCUUGGAUAUGGGCAAUAAACUCUAUCAGUUGCUGGAAUUGAAGCUUCCUUUAUUGCCUGGCGCAUAGUGUCAACAUGUUUAGGUGUCAAGAAUUUCACACAACUGUCAACACUAAGGUCAGACUUACAAGCUUCAUGAGGACAUUUAGGAAGGAUCCCAUCAAACAAUUUCACUUCCACAUGCUGUUUCAUACAAGAAAAGCAAUACCGAUGAAGGCAGCCAUCAACCGAAAAAAUCUGACUAACAUCACUAUCUUCCAUGCAGAUCACACAAGUCUCUUUCACAUUCUUACUAUUGCUGGAUUCCGCAGGCUUCAUCUGAGAGUGAGACUCUAUGGCCUCUCUUGCAAGUUUAGAUGCAAACUUAAUUUCCAACCGAGGCACAAGCCUGGAGUUGCAUUGCGUAAACUUACUUCGAAGACUCUUAACCUGAUUAACAAGAUCUAAUACCUUUUGCUGCUUUGCUGACCAUUUCCCAUUAAUCUGCAAAUGUUCAAAUACAACUUAAAACUAAAUUCUUCAUCACGGCAUGUUCUACAAUUUUAAUAUUAUACCCAAUUUAAAAAUCUUCUUAUAGUUGUUAAAUUACGCCAUAAAAACACAAAACUAAAUAAAUUUGAUUAGAAAACCUAUAAAAUAGCCAAGAGAGAUCACUUACAAACUGAAAAAUUGGAUUGUUAUCACAGAAGAAUGUAAUUCGCUUCAUUCCCAAACACAGAGCAACAGUAAGUCCUUCGAUCAAGGCUUUCAAUUGGGCCGAAUUUCUACUAAGCCCAUUCCCAAUCAACGGUUUCUUAACCUCGAAAACCAGAUUACCCCUGGAAUCACAUAUCGCUACUCCGAUUCCGGCCAGCACCAAUUUCUGAUCCCCAACCUGUUCCUCGCUCACCAAUCCCUUGAAAUACAGCCUGAAAUCGCUCUCCUCACUCUCCGCCGCCGCCGCCGACGAAGAGCCUACAUCAAACGGCUUGGCGAAGUCGGCGCCGGACUGUUCCCACUCGUCGUCGGGAAUUUCGACGAUCUCCCUCGCGACCUUGGCGUCGUGAAUCGCGCGGGCGAGGUCCUCUCUCGCCCGCCGCAAUUCAAUCUCGCUCUGCACGCUGUCCUUGAGCGCCUGCUCCAUUCCUACGAGGACGGAAGCGGCGGCGGAGGAGGAGGGUUGAGGGGCGAGGGAGGCGGCUAGGGCUUCUUGGAGUUGGAGGUUGAAGGCGAAUUCGGUGUCGGAUUCGAGGGUGUCAAUUUCCAUGAAAUCGUGGUCGUGGCGGUGAUCGGAGACGGUGAGGAAAUCGUAGUCGACGGAGGAGAAGGGGACUCUACUGGUACUGGUCAUGAGUCCUUCAGAGAGGGACUUUCUAGGAUUUUGGGGUGACUUUUGUGCUUAUAUAGGGUUUGGAGGAGUUUAGGGAACGUCCAGGCCCAAUGUACAUACAAGUAACCAAUACAUUCAAGAUCACCCUACACUGUUUUGUUUAGCUUACGAAUAGCCUCCACAAUACUUAUGUAUUCUAAUAAGCAUCAAUUGGCAAAGAGUGCACAAAUUAAAUAGCUACUUCAUAUGCUUUGUCACUGUGAUGACAUAAUGCGACAUUCAUUAGAUAUAUAACAUGAUUACAUAAAAGACGAUGAACGAGAGAGAGAGAGAUAUGAUAUCUGACCGUCUGAGUGUUCUAUUUUCAGUACUAAUUGACCCAAUUGUCAUUUGAAAAUUAUUAAAAAAAAUAUAAAGUAAUGAUUUUGGUUUAAUUUUGGUAUCAUUAUUUCUUAUCCAUUGGAUUUUUAUGAGCCUAAUCUAAUAGUAGUUGAGCAAGUGUUCCGUGGUUAGCUAGUGACCGUGUGAAUGAGACUGUAUUACAAGAUAUUAUUACCAACAUAAACUGUAAAUAGUUAACCUAUACUAACAAUAACAAAAAUUUGAGAGAAAAAUUUAACUUGGACCCCAGACCCAAGCCCACCGGUCCAAGCCUAAGAAGCAUAAUACAGCAGCCACGCCGCUGCCACCUUGGCCGCACCAGACAUGGCUCACUACCAUCGACAGCGACACCAUCGGCACCUGCUGAAUCCCUCUAGACGUGUCGCCUAGCAUUUCAUUUGGUUAUGUAUUUUUAACUUCUAUAGUACAUAUGUGUAAAUCGGUAGUAUUUUUAACUUCUAUGGUACAUAUGUGAGAAUCAGGACAAUGGCUCAUAAUCAAAGCUUAACUUCUAAGGCCUAGUUUGGUACAGCUUCGCUUUUAAAAAAAUCAGCUUCUAUCCGAACUUGUAGAUUUUAUAGUGUCUGGUAAAUGAAAGAAAAUCAGUUUUUUUUGAAAAUUAUAAGUCACUGGCAGCAGUUUUUAGUAGCAACCUGAAUGUUACUUUUAAAAGCAGUUGUCACUAAAAAUACUAGAAAUUAAUAAAUUUUAUCUUGGCAACACUUUUAAAACUAAUAUUUACCAAACAUAAAACUGUUUUAAUUCACAGCUGAUUAUUUUUGCAGCAGUUUUUUUUUUUUUUUAAAGUCACAAUAAUACCAAACUAGCCCUAAAUAAACAAAGAGAAAUUCGUCUGAAUGAUAUACAAACUUUUGUUCCUUAUAAACUUUGGUAUACCAAGUUUUAAAAAUAUUAGAUUGGUAUUUCAUGUUUUCAUCCCGACCUAAGAUUAGUAUAUAUAGCUAUUAAGAUGACUAAUUUACCCUCAAACCAAAAAAAGAUGACCAAUAUACCCUUAAAUUCUUUUCUUUGUUUUCAUAUUCCAAUUUUCUUUUUUUGGUUUUUUAUAUUUUUAGGAACGUAGAAAAAAAAUUCAUCGUCACUUUCUCCUUGUUAAUAAUAAGUUUUUCAUCUCAAUUAUCCUUCAUUGUCAACGGCAACAACAAGAUUUUUGAGUGUCAGCAUAAACAACAAAGAUUGAACUUCUGUAUGUUUCUCUUCAAUCUUCUUCAAGUUUAUAAAGAUCAACCCGAAUUAUCAAAUUCUAAAACCCCUUUUAAUAUUUCUGGAAUAUGAAAACAAAUAUAAAAAAAACUAAGAAAAAAAGAGAAAUUAAAGGUAAAUUGGUCAACUUAAAUGGCUAUAUAUACCAAUCUUAGGUUGUGAUGGAAACAUGAGAUAUCAUUCUGAUAUUUUUAAAAUUUGAUAUACCAAAGUUUAUAAUGAGCAAAAGUUUACAUACCAUUCGAACGAAUUUCUCAUAAACAAAUUCAGGUUAAUUGAAACUAAACCGACCGAACCAAUACUUCGAGUAACCAAAGUAGUCGGCCUAGCAAAUUUUGGUUUCCAGUUCAGUUUUCAGUUGAGGGCAAAUUUUGCAAGCCAAAUACAGAGGAACAGAAAUUUCAUUUCAUUUCCAACGAAAACUUAAACUUGAUACAACCAUAGGUACACAACCACAUUAUUAACAAAAUCUACCAAAACUAUCCACACACCAUGAUCACCGUCAACCACAUUAUCAGUUCCGACCUUUUGAUUUUCUUCCCCAGAUUUAUUAAAACAUCACCCUGAAUCAAACUAUAUAUGAUAUGAUCAAGCAUCAGCAAUCUCGGCAGCAGAAUCUGCAGCAGCUAAGAUCAGUUCUGGCUGGAUACCUCCAACAUAUGAUCCAUCAAGAGCGUUGGGUAGUCCCAGUGCCUUCAACGCUAAAUGGGCUGCCUUUUGCCCUGAUAUCAUCAUAGCCCCGAAUGUAGGUCCCUGCAGCAACAACAAUGUCCAAAAUGCAAAAUCAAUUAGUCCUAUUCACUUCCACCACCAUUAUUAGGACCACCAUUAUAAAUUUAUAAUCUAGUGAUGGAACAUUUUCGCGGGUUUGUCUACUGUACCGAACGGUAUAACAUAUCUAUCACUAAAAGAUUAGGGGUUUGAGCAGUGAGGGGUCCAGCAGGGGGUGAUUUGUUUCAAAAUUGGUUAUGAAAUUCAACAUGCAUAGCAUACUCUCAGGUAUAGCAGAAUUUUCCCACUUUCGCAAGCUAAAAUCAAAGCAAGAACAAAUUUUAUUUGGACCAGUGUUCCCUUUAGGCUAUUUAGCUCAUCUUUGAAAAUAGCCUAAGUGAUUGCAGACCUCCUGUGUCGCUAUCAAGUGCGGGGAACAGAAGAGGGUGGUAAAUGAUAUUUGAUUAGGACAGGUUAGCAAAUGAAAUGGUUUUUGGGUCCCAUCCCACCUUGUAUUAUUAAGGUGCAGUACUAAUUAAAUUGGCUCUAGUCCAUGUUGCAAGAGUUUAACAACAUAAAGUUUCCAUGUUAACUAUAACAGAGCAUUAUUGGCAACCCCUCAAAACAUCCACUAGCCAUUUCUACACUUGUACUUUAUGAUAAACUACCCUCUAGAUUUCAUUAUCAAUCAAACAUAAAACUAUUUGAAGAUCAUAUAAAUUCUCGGAGUGAUCAAAUAUACUAAUUAAGUGAUAGACAACUUUUGUAACAUAUAUGCUAAACACCUAAGAAUGAAGUAAAUUAUCAAAUCGCCAACAGUACUAUGCGAGUUUGACUUGCUUCAAUGACCCAAAACCAAAUGUACUAUGCAACUAUCUGCUUCAUUUCACUAUCUACUUCAUUUCAAAUUUAAUUUUAACUUGUGUUUUUCUCAGAAAAGGACCAUUCUAUAAUAAGUUUUGUCCGAAGCAUCAAAAUGAUUCUAAAUCUGAUCCCUUAGUUAAUCACAACCGGGUCAAAACUAUUUAAAGCAAGUUGAUGCUUGGGAAGAAAUAUAUGAGAACACAUAAUGAAGCAUAAAAAAGUAGAUUUAUUUAUAUAGAAAUUUACCAUUCUUGGCGAGCCAUCAAUCUCAGCAACUUCCAUGCCAGUAACAAUCAUUCCAGGUACAAUUUCCCUUGUUAGCUUCACAAUGGCAUCCUCAGCUGCAUUCAUGUCCAAUGCCUUCAUCCCAGGCACGCUCUCAAUCAUCCCAACGCUCCUCAACCUCUUUACUCCGGUGGCUCCCAUCGGUCCAUCGUGACCGCAUGAGCUAACCACAACCUUGGCCUCCAUAACGUUGGGGUCCAUGCACGAUUGUGUGUCGUGGUUCAUGGAGACCAAGGCCCAGUUGGUGACAACACCAGCAACUCUUCCACCCUUGAUGAUCAAAUCCUCAGCUGCUACAGCGUUGAAGAGCUUCACAUUAGGACGGGCAAGGAGCUUGCUCAUGAUAGUUGAGGUGAAUAGGGCAGCAUGCUUGAUGACUACGUAGCCAUCCUUCUCGUCGUAGUCAAUUCCUAACUCGUUGAGGAAGUGAUGUGCUGGUUUCCUCACUACCUGUUUCAAAUAUAUGAAUUGAAUCUUUAAUAUUGGCAAGUACUGAAUAAAUUAAGAUCUUUAUUUAUUCAUAACAAAAAGAAAAGAAACAAAUCUAAUAUACCAACUAGUCAUUUCAAUAUCAAACCCAUUUUCCAGUGAUGGAACCGAAUAAUCGGAUCACAAAAGGAUCUAAUGGACUUUCCUAGUUCCAAAAAUAAUAUUUGAGAAGUGAAAUUUACGUAUACACGAUUAUAAUCCACACAUUCAUUCUGACCCACUUUUACUGUGAAAUUUUCAAAAUUGUCCAUGUUUUCUUUUUCUCUUCAAAUUGUAGUAGACAUGAACUUUUCUGACAAUUGCAGUAGGUCAGGACAUGUGGACCGUAACUGAGAAUGUGCAAAUUUCACUUACAAUAUUUCCUACACAAAUAUUAAUUUCUGAGCAAAAAUAAAAGUUAUCAUCAAAUAAGAUGGUGCAUGUAAGACACGUGGCACAACUUCAAGUUCACGUAAUAAGGUGGAGUUAUUCAUUACCAUGGCGGAGAAGAGCUGGCCACCGAGCCACGCGCCGCCGCCGGGGCUGACGGACUGCUCAAUAAUAGCGACCUGCACAUUGGGGUUCUUGCUGAGCUCGUAGGCGCACGACAGGCCGGCCGAACCGGCACCGACGACGACGACGUCGGUAUCGGCGUAGGUGAUCAUGUCAGUCAUGUAUCGCCUGGUCAUCUCCCGGGAGACGAUGGACUCCUUGAUCGGCUCGAACUUGAAGUUGGUCAAGUCGUAAGCGCUGGUGGAGCCACCGGCGGACAUGGAGACGGAGAGGCCGUGGCCGUUGGAUGUGGCCGCCUUGAGUGGCUGAACGCGAGCCACGGGGACGCCGUGGAAGGAGGAUUCGAGGAGAGAUGGCUUCUGGAGCUUGGUGGAGAGAGAGGAGGCAGCGAGUAUGGAAGCCAUAGAUGCCAUUUUGAUGGUAACGAAGAGAGAAAUGAAAGAGAUCGAUAUGGGAGUUUGGUUUGGUUUUGUUGAAGAUGGGACUCAAGAGUGGUGAUAGUGUAACCGGCGCGAGUGUAUUUAUGGACACUGAGAUUGAGUGUGAGAUAUCUGGAGUGAUGUGAAGGCCCCUGAGGUUUUCAGUUUUCCAUAGAGCCCCCUGUGGUUGCCAUAAUUUCUCAAGGUUUACCAUAUAUAGAGGUUUACCAUAUCUUAAUUUUUCUCUCCACUAAGACAAAGUAUAAAGAAUAUUAUCAAAAAGAUUCAUUAUAGAACUUAUUUUUUGCGCUGAAAUAGAAGUCUAGAAGGCAUCCAAGUGAUCCAACCAUUCUAGUUUGUUAUUGAGUUUUACAUGGAAUUUUUAUUUUUAAGACAGUACAAAUAAUACGUGACGUUUAUAAGUAAACCAAAAAAAAAAAAAACAUUAUUUAAGAAUUUGUUAUGUCAUAAUUAUGUUUUUGACAAUGAUGUUUUGAAAUAAUAAAGACCGUAGCUACCACUUUUCUUUUGUGUCACAUUCUAAUCUUUUGAAGGUUGUAGAAACACCAAUUCACUAUUAUUAUCAAAUAUUUGAGUAAUUACACUAAUUGAUCACUAAUUACAUAAUUUACUCUUGUCAGUUAUGAUUGGACGAAGGCACACACAUAAAUGUGUUUUUCCUUCAACAGGUUAGUUUUUUUUUGUGUUACAAUUUAUUAUGGGUGCUUCUAGAUGUAUCCAGCAAAUUUUUAAGUAAACCCAGCAACAGACUUUUUACCACGUUUUUCCAUUAUUACCCUUAAAUAUCUAUAAUUUUUCUCUUAUUUUAAAUGAAAAUAAAAAGAAAUAACUGCAAUGUUCUUGAAGUCGAGAACGCCGAUGUUGUUCUGCCUAUUCUGUUGUCAGUCUUCUUCUCUUUCUCCAUAUUUUCUCCAGUUUUGUUUCUUUCUGUAAUCUUUGAGGUGAUGGAGAUCAUCAAGACAAUCAAUUUUCAGAGCCAGCAACUCAACUUGAAUUGUUGCAGAUAUAUUUGUUUUUUCUUUACAAAGCAGAAGCAAAACAGGAAUUAUAGCAAUGAAAUCGAGCCAGGACCAGUAUUCUAUGAUGAACCAAAUAUUGUAUGAACCCUAGAGAAAGAACACGCUAGAGCAGUAAGGUGUGAGAAAGCUAUGAUUUCAUAUAUUAACAUAAUGACGAAUAUUUCUCACGCUAAUCAAUCAUAUAACUUAUAUAUAUGGCCAACUUAUUUAUUGAUAAGGGAAUAGUUAAAUUCAGAAGCUUCCAUGCAAUAUUUGUCAGAGAAUCCUUUCCUCCUCCACCAAGUGAUCGAAUGUGACGCAACGAGAAAAUCUGGGGAGGACGGAAAGAUAAGGGUUUUUGUUUUCCUAUUUUGUUUCUCUUAAUUCAUUUAAAAUAAGAGAUAGAAUCAGAAUGUUAGGAACUAAAAAAAUGUUGUUAGGUCUAUUUAGUCAUUUGCUGGGUACAUUUAGCAACACCCGUUAUUAUUGAAUUGAUAUGAAUUAAACUCUCAAACAUACAGAGAACUAUAGAAGCCACACUAGUUUUAAACUAAGAUGAAGAAAAUUUGCUGGAGUUGGUUUUAUAAGUUUUUGGCUGAAACAGCUAACGAAUUGCUAUGCUAAAAGUUGGAGAUCAACGUCAAUGGAAUAGAUAUCAGAAACCCCAAAGGGUCUAAAUACUAUAAGUUGGAACCUGCAGGAACUUGAGUUACUAUGUAAACCUGUUAAACGGAAAAGGUGGCGAUGGGAAGAGAGGAUAGGAUACGAAGGGCCUAGAAUUUGGCUCUGCUACAAGUGGCACACAUGAAGCAGUCCACCACUACUCACUGCUGUUGUAAUCUUAUCAAACUGUGGGUGCCAUCUUUGAUGCCCUUUCCAGAGCUUGUGUACAACAACACAGAAUCAGAAAGUUCACUUUUACGAAAUAAUAUCUACAUGUAUAUCUUCGGGAACAAGAAACAAAAAAUAAUAUCUUUGCCAUUGUCCUGCUCUGCGUGGAUGAUUUUUCUGUUUGGCCGAGAGGAUUGUGCGACGUCUUCGUAUUUUUACUACCAUGUGAUUCUUAAGAAAAGUGUUCUGUGCUAUUCCUCAAAAAAAAGAAAAAGAAAAAAGUGUUCUAUGACAUUUCAGAAGAUUAUAUGAACUCGUAUCUAGCUAAUUUCUAAGCAUUAUGAAUGCGGGAAUUUGAACAAGUAUAUGACUCCUGAUCACUCCAAAGACCUACAUGUCGAUGUAAUAUAUUGCAUUCUGCCUUGUAGGGCUGGCAUUGGUAGGUAUACCAACUCUAUUUUUCAAUACCAUGUACCAACCAACUUAAGAUUGGUAGGCAAAAUCUUGUACCAAAACCAACCGUCAAAGUUGGUAUACCAACUUAGUUGGUACGGUUGGUACGGUUGGUAUUGGGCCUCUACCAAGUUUAGAUUGAGGCCCAACAAACUGAAAGGCCCAGCUCAUUUAAAUCCUUUUUUUAGGCCUAUACCAAACUUCUAUCAAUUAUCAAACUAUUUAAAGUUCAAACACAUUCAAAGUUUCACACAUCAUAUAAUUUCAAAUGCAUAAACAAAUUAUAGAUAGCUCAACAUCAUUGAUUAUACUCAUUAUAGAAGAAGAAAAACCAAACCAACAACUUAAUGCAAGAGAGACUAUUUAAUGCAGUCUUCCACCACCAUUUUCAGCAAUCAGAGAAGAACAUUAGUCUAUCUCUUUAUCUAUCUCCUCAUUCAAACCCUACCGUCUUCUUCUUCUCUCUCAUUCUCUUUAACUUGAACAUAAAUCAACAUUGCUACCCAAUUCACUCCUACUCUCUAACUAUCAAAAGGUCCAUUCUUUCUUCCAAGCUAUCGGCAUUUCAUAAUCUACCUUCUAUUCAUCCAACUGAUGAAAUCAUAACUCUAAAGCCAAUACAGAAUAAUUGAAACAAGCACAUAAGCGAAACACAACAAAUCAUAUCUCAAAUCCAAAUCACCAUCAAAAUGUUCACUAAAUGAUGAAAGGCAGUAUACCUGUAUUGCCAACACAGUCAUCAUGAAUCUUGCAGCAUUCACUUUCACUUUAAUGGCAUAAACAUAAGCUUGAGUCUCAUAGACUAAUACAGUCCCACCACAACUAUGUAAUCAAGCACUACUAAUACAGGGCAGUGAGUCGGUAAGUAUUGAAAGAACACAUUGUAUUUGUUUUGUUUUAGCUAAGUAAAAGGUUCAUCAACUAACAGACUGUGCUGCAUUGACGGUUAACAAAUUCAACAACAGGCAAAUGNNNNNNNNNNNNNNNNNNNNGUUCUUUUAACACCAAGAGUAGUGUUAUUACUUAAAACAUUUGAAUUUUCUGCAGAAUUCUCAAUAGCAAAGACUGAUUGAGAAGGUAAAGAACACUGAAGUUGCAAAUAACCAUUCAAACGAAGAGCAGAACCAAUAAGUAAUGAAUUCUUAAAAAUCUUUAUUCCAUUAAUGUCAUAAAGAAAACUAUAACCAAGUUCUAUCAAAAGAUCCCAAGAGACUAAAUUUCUCUUCAUUGCGGGUACAUAGUAAACAUUCUCCAAAAUUAAAAAAUUUCCUAGACUUAAUUCUAGCUUCAAGCUUCCUAUUGCCUUAACGGAAACCUUCAUGCCAUUUCCUACACGAACGCGUGCUUCCUCAGUUUUUGGUUUCCUCCUCUUUGUGAAGCCCUUUCUUCACCAUCCAGGCCUUAAAGCUGGCACAGUCUUUCUUAAUAUGCCCUGCCUUUUUACAGAAAUAGCACUUAUACUUAAAUGUGCCAUUGCCGGAUGUACCUGCCCCCUUAGAUGUACUAGGUUUGAAGUUGGUUUUCUUAGCUCCUAACUUCUUCUUCCACUUGUUUUUGCCAUUUUUGCCAUUUUUGCCAACCAGGUUCACUGUUGCCUCAAAGGUUGAAGCCUUAAUCACACCAUAACUUGAGUCAUCUGCCUUAAUUCUACUCUCCUCCUCAGUUGCUAUAGCAAUGAGAUCAUUGAAGCUCCAUUUGUCCUUCUGAGCAUUGUAGCUCGACUUCAAUUGACUGAAUUGUUGAGGGAGAGAGUGCAGUGCAGUGUGCACCACAAAUUCUUCAGGGAGAUGGAUGUUAAGAUCCUUAAGCUUAUUGACUAUAUUCUCCAUCUUAAGGUAGUGGUUCCUGACACCUCCAACACCAUUAUACUUAAGGGUGUUGAACCUCAGGGAUAGUGUUGUAGUCUCAGCCUUUUCAGUAUGCUUGAACUUCUCAUUGAUAAGUUCAAGCAUGUCAUAGGCAUAAUCAAUCUCAGGGAUGGUACCGGAUAUGGUGUCUGACAUGGUGGCCCUAAUGAUGUUUCUGCAGGUGUUGUUCUUCCUAUCCCAUGAGUGCUCGUAUUCCCAGGCUGCUAAAAACUGAUCCUUAUCCUCAACUUCUAUAUGUUCUGGUACUCCUUCUAACAGACAAGAAUCUAGCCCUUGGUUCAUGGAAAAAUACAUAUCAAUUUGUCUCCUCCAGGUUUUGUAGUUUCCACCAGUUAAAAGCUCAAUCUGGUUAAGAGUGACAACUUGGACACCUAAUGAGCAAACAAAAGAGAUUUUCUAUUAGUUCUUGUUUUACUGUAUUUGUUAAGUGUGAGGGUAAUCUAGAUGUUUUCUGUGUUUUAGGUAGAAUAUAUCAAGUAAAAUAAAUCCAAAACCACAUAAACAUAACACAAAAUCACACUUUAACAUGCUAAAAACAUACAUAUCAAUACAUACAUAUGCACACAAUUAUCCCAUACUGAAAUACAUGUUUUACAACACCUAUAUGGCAGAAGAUAAAACACAUUGAAAAUCUGAAUCCACACACCACAGUAAUUAAUCCCAAGUUUUAUAAAAGAAGCAGUCAUCACCUAAUGGCAGAAGAAAAGCUUCUAAAAUAACCAAAUAUGAGAUUAGAGACCAUGUAUGCAGCUAUUCUAAGUUUUAAGCAAUGCAGCGAAUACCUCUAUGGAGGCCAAUAUGUGCAUGUUUUAAAUUUUAGUAACACAAGUUUUCAGUCCUUUUAACUUUAUGAUUAUCUGAAAACAUGAAAAAACUUUGCUAUGUGCAACAUGCUAAUCCAUAUCACCAGAUAAACAAAGACCAAGGAAUUUCCUAUAUGUUUUCAUCUUAAUCCAAGUUAACCGAAACUUGAACAAAAAUCAUUCCUUUGCUGCAAAUUUUAUGGUCAUGAUUAAAACAUAUUGUUUUGGGAGACUUUAACAAUCACAACAGAGAAAAAUUUACAGAUUUAAUGCAGAUAGCUUUAGGCUUCUAAAAGUCAUUGAAAAAAAUACAAUUUUCACCCAAUUGACAUACCUUGGCAUCUGCUACAGCGCUGCAAUGUUAGCGGAAGCAAACAAUAACACAGAAUUGCAGCACCAAUCAACCAAAACAACAAUCAAAACACCAAUCAAGAACACAGAGAAUCUAGAAAACACAAAUUCCAUCCGGACAACUCCAGCUAUCCUAACGUAUGUGCACUCCGGGCGUGCUCUAGGGUUCUCUAAUUUGUUCUUAAUCUUACCUGAAUCGUGAGUGAUGGGUCUUGAAUCCCAACGAGUUCAUGAACGAACUCGCGCGCUUCUUCCCUCGCCAAAACCAGAUACCCAGAAAACUUUUUGUCGUUCUAAAACAACGACCAGAACUAAAUCCCUUUGUUUUGGGGUUUUCUGUGAAUCGGGCCUUGGGCUUGGGUCACGCAGCUCACAGGCCCAGCUUUAGUUUCUGAAUGGGUCAACGAAUUUUGUUGGCCCGGUUUACUGAAUUUUUUUGUUGUUGUUGUUGUUUCUGAAGCAUAGCAUAUGAACAUGUAAUUGCUAUUGUGUUGAUUUUACUGAAUCGAUUUAUAUGUGAGGCUACGAGCGCCAAGCUCUGAUACCAUUUAAUAGAAAACUGAAGCUAAUUAUACCAUAGUUAGCGCAAGCAUAUAAACACAAACAACACACAUAGAACUUAAGACUUACCAGCGUUGUUAAUGGAGAUCGCNNNNNNNNNNNNNNNNNNNNACAGAAUAAUUGAAACAAGCACAUAAGCGAAACACAACAAAUCAUAUCUCAAAUCCAAAUCACCAUCAAAAUGUUCACUAAAUGAUGAAAGGCAGUAUACCUGUAUUGCCAACACAGUCAUCAUGAAUCUUGCAGCAUUCACUUUCACUUUAAUGCCAUAAACAUAAGCUUGAGUCUCAUAGACUAAUACAGUCCCACCACAACUAUGUAAUCAAGCACUACUAAUACAGGGCAGUGAGUCGGUAAGUAUUGAAAGAACACAUUGUAUUUGUUUUGGGUUUUUAGCAAGUAAAAAGGUUCAUCAACUAACAGACUGUGCUGCAUUGACGGUUAACAAAUUCAACAACAGGCAAAUGUUGUAUCAUCAAUCAACACAUAAUGUGAGAACACAGAGCAUAGAACACAAUCAACACAUAGAUUGAUAGAUAACAAUCAUAACACAUGGAUUGAUAGAUACACAUAGAUAAUAGAUUGAUAGAUACAUACGGAGAUUCGAGGCUUGGUGCUACGAAGUCAACGGCGAGUUGAGGCGCUGCCCUUCGUCGGAAAGUCGAGGCACUGCCCAGCGUUGCCCUUCGUCAGAGAGUCGAGGCGCUGCCCAGCGCUGCCCUUCGUCGGAGAGUCGAGGCGCUGCCCAGCGCUGCCCUUCGUCGGAGAGUCGAGGAGCUGCCCAACGCUGCCCUUCGUCGGAGAGUCGAGGCGCUGCCCUUGGCGCUGCCGAGUCAAGGUGGCCGAGGUGCUACUGAGUUGACGACGAGAGAGGCGAGGUGGCUAGAAGCUGAGUCGAGGUGGCGGAGCCGAGGAGGUGUUGCGAAGUCGAGGUGGCGGAGGCGCGGAGCCGCGGGGGUGCUGCGAAGUCGAGAGAUGAGGCGAGAGAGGCCGAGAGUGACUGUGAGUCUAUUGACUCUAUUCUGAACUAACUCAACUAACUAACUAAGGAUUAGGGUUAGAUCCACAGAUCAACGGCUUAGAUUAAUAGUUUUAAUUUUUUUUUUUUAAUAUAACUCGGUUGGUACAUUGUAUACUGUAUUUUGGGAAAAUCUGUACCACGUACCAACCGACUUCUAAAACUUGGUACGGUACUACUGUACCGAAAACUCGGUUACCAACUAUUUGACAUACCAAUUUGUUUGGUACGGUUGGUACAUAGUUGGUUGGUAUUGCCAGGGUCCAAAUUGCCACCCCUACUGCCUUGUCCUGUGCCUCCUAUACUUAGUUUUACGAGCACAAACUUGGCUGGAAAAUGAUCACAACUGAUCUUCCCCUGAACAUGGAAAUUCAAGAUUUCGUUGUUUGUUACCGAACAUGGGACAUAGAGAGUUGUCAUUUCAUAGAACAUAGGACUGAUUAGUGUUUCACAACUUUGAAGAUAUCUUGAGAAGCUGAACUAUGAUAUGAUCAAUAUGCUAAUAACCUUAAUCUAAUAUCUAAAAGUUAAUGAUGAUAGUUUUGUGAUUAACUCACAUACUUCGGCAGUUCAGCAGGAGGGAAUUAACUAUGCUAGACUAGUUGGUUAUGAGCAAAUAUUUCGAUCUUUUGUUCUGGGAUCACUCAAGGUUACCAGAAACAAUUAGCAUUUGUGUUUCACAGGCAUUCAGAAUUUACACUGGCUAAACAGAUCAGGUAGCUCCACCACAUCACGACUAUAGUGCAAUGUCUUUCCUCUGAUGGCUUUACCUAAUUUUUCCAGCUCUCCAAAAGCUCAGGAAGAUGGGUAUUGGUUAGUUUGGUCCUCUUGCUGAUCUCAGGCUUCUUCUUCUUGUUCUUCUUGUCCUUGCAAUAAGAAGACCCGACUAGACUCUGAACCAUAGCACUUCUCCUUGCAGAGUCUGUGGCAGGCCCCAUCCCAUUCUUCUGAAGAUACUUCUCAAUAUCAACCAUAUUGCUAGGCAACUCUAUUUUCCUGAAGCAUGUUUUAAGGUCAUCAUCAACCUCGAUGCGGGGCAACUUAGGGUCAUUCGGAUAUGCUAUAUCCUCUUGUGCACUGAAGCUUGAAAGAAGCCAUAUGUCACCAGCAGCUUUUAGAGCCUAGAUAGUAUUACUUAAUUAAAAACUUCAUGGCAAAAGAAGUACUCCAGAAAUAAUCCAAGUUUAACAUAGUAUUACUUAGAAGAAUAUGGAGAUGUAUUCAUGUAUAGUCUUUUCCAAAGCAUAAAUAAUAGAAGAAGCAUUAUUGAUGAAAAUACCUGCAGGUCUUCCAUUACACUGGGGUAUGCAUCCUUGAGAUCAAUCACAGGUAUGCCCUCUGGAAAUUUCUGUACUAUGGCCAGUAGUUGGCUUCUGUCCUUCACAGCAUGCUUGGACUACAGAUAAAAAGUACGAGCAAAAUUCUGUCAUCUUCAUGUAGAAUAAAAAGGUUACAGUACUUCAAAUACCGUAACAAUAAACUUACCUUAUACGAGAAGCAUUUUCCAUCAUAGUGAACUUUUGGGUUAUCUGUCAGACACUUAAAGACAGUUUGAUUGUGGUUCACAUCAACAAAACAGUUUUCGUAUAUUCCCUCAGGCGUGAAAGCCUGCCUUGUCUGCAACAUAGUGUAAACAAAGAUGGUGAUGAGUCCUUCUCAUGAUCCAAGAAAAAUUAGCGUAUCUGAGAUGAACUAAGAACAGGUAAAGGAAAAGGAUCAUAAGAAAGAAUGUAGUAUAAUUGGUGAAAAGGAAAAUAAUAUGCUAUAUAUCAGCUAGCUAUCAUUCUGAGAUCAGACUGUACCAAUUAUAACAGCUUUGGUGAAAUUCUAAUUACGACAACUAAAUAAAUGUAUGCUUUACAGAGUUAAUAUUUCACUUAAAAAGUCAAAUUGCUUUCAUUGAAACAAGUGGAAAACAAAAAGGCACUUCUGCCCUCCUCAACCAGAUCAAGAAACUGUGUUAUUGGCAUCUAAGAUCAGAAUUAGGCUAGCAGUUGGAUCACCUAGCUGGAUUCCGAUGCUUGGACUUUAUAGACUUCCUAGUCAAUUAGAUAGGGGAAGCAAAACCAAAAGAAUGGAUCAUUAUACUUUCUGGUUAUGUACACAACCAAUGAUUUCACUACCCUCAGUCUUGGUACAUACAUUGGAGUAAUUCAAACAUUCCAAAGGACUUUGUCGAGUUUUAUUCCUAGCCAAUGUGACAGGGAAAACAAAAACAAAACAAAAAAAAGGGUGUUUAAAGCCAUGAGUUCAUACUUCAUAGCCCACGGCCUUGAUUCAAACAAAUCCUAGCACAAAAGUAACAUGUAGAGAAUCUAGUUCCCACAGAUUCCCUGUCUUAGGCCCUAGAAAUCUACUAGGCAAAGGCCUGGACUGCUACACUGCGUAUAAAAAUAUACUUAUCUCUUGAGUCAAGCAAAGAAGGGGAAAAUUAUACCUUCCGCAGCAGGUCGAUAACACGCUUGACCUGUGCUCCAUCAGGAGAAUUCCGUAUGCUAUUAAUGUGUUGGAGCCUCUCUGUAUCAUCUGAAAAUUUGACAGUUGGAGGAUGAACCCUAGCAGCUGCUGCAGACACAGCUUUCAGAGUUGCUGUGGCCUUAUUGUUAGAGGCAAUGCUGAUACGGGUUGACUGGCACUGCUCUUGCUGUUUCAUGAAUCUAUCCGAUCCUUCUUCUAGUCCCAUUUGAAAAUUUCCACUAAAAAUAUUGAGCAUUAAUGUCAAAGACCUGACUUGAAACUUGAAAAAAAAGAACACUGCAGAGUUCAAUCCAAACAAGAACUUCCCAACUAAUAUAAAUCAUUAAAAUCGGGUUUUCAUCAGUCUAUCAGAUAAGCAUGCUUUCACAAACUCAAUCACAUUCCCAAAUUGACAAAUUACAAACGAGCCUCUGCACAUUUUAUGAUUUGCAUAAUCACUAUGAUUAUAAUCCCAGAGAACCAAGAAAUAAUAGAAAACUAAAGCUAAUUAUACCAUAGUUAGCGCAAGCAUAUAAACACAAACAACACACAUAGAACUUAAGACUUACCAGCGUUGUUAAUGGAGAUCGCCAUGUCUGAAAGCUUAGGUCUUCUGAUCUCUCUCACAAUGUGCUCCUUAGAUGGGAUAGGGACUGAAUGCGUCUUAUGAUGAGAUCAGGGACUUAUGCUUGUGUAUUUAUAGUGAUCAACUAGUGCCUUGCCCAUUAAAGAUUCCUAGUUGAUCUAUAAGAUUUACCAAAGAUUACGAGAAUCAUAUAAGAAGAUAUUAUGGAUUCCUUAUUCAAUAUGUAAACUAUAUAUUAUUUGCAUAUCACUAAUAUUACAUUCCUUAUACAACUCGUAAUACUUAGAUUAGGCUUAAUUAAUUGCUUGAACUGAAAGUCACAUAAUAUUGUUAAAGUCCAUAAUAAUCUUUCAAGAAAUAGUUUAUCAUCUUCAUGAUAAAUCCAAUAAAUAGUGUAAGAAGUUAAAAUGGUUCUGUAACCACAUGAAUUAAGCCCUACGUGAUCAAAAAUCAAACCCCCGUCGCAUUACCUAUCCUAAGUCAAGUCAUGGACGAAUCAAGUGAAUACUAAAACCCAAAAAACAAACCCAAAUUGCAAAAUGCCUGUUAAUUUCGAUCACAAUCAAUUGUUACUAAUCAAACCCAGUUAACAAAUUGAACCCAAAACCCUAAAAUUAAAGUUAGCAGCAGAGCACGAAGAGAGGCAAUGUUUCGAACCCUAACCUGGCGAGAAGCAAGUUGCGAUUGAAACGGCAGAAUGGAGAAUAAGGAUGUGGAAUUUGUGAAAGGAUUCGGAGAAGAUGAAUGUGAAUUGUAUUUUUGUGCCGUAGAAUGAAUGAAUGCCUUCCCUCUUUCAUAAGCUGUGAGCGUCAGGGCGGUUAAUGUGGGCUUUCAAAUCAGGGCCCUCUAAUAUUGAGUCAUCUAUCACGUAUAUUAUUAUACUAUUGUAUCGAGAAAUUCUUAUAUGUACGACGUGUAUUUACACGAUACAAUCUUAACUGUUUAUAACAAUUUAUAUAUUUGACUACCAUGUUUCUAUAUUAUUUUCUCUAAUCUUGACCAUCCAUGUAUGUAUGUGAAGAUACACGCCGUGUACUGAAGUCUGAAGAUGUUCUCCAAUUGUAUCACCUAUUGUUCAACUUGUGCCCUUUGUUCUAAUCGUAAAAACUUGUGCAUGUUUACUAAUAACACAAGGAAAUUUUCUUCAUCAUAACACACAGUAAUGUUCACUCGAUCAGUAAUUUAUAACAAUUUUUAAGUUGGAUGGGUUUUCAUUGUAACUUCAUUUACAACGAAUGAUUACAAAUUCAAGUAAUGGCGGAACGGAACAUAAUCCUAAACAGGCCGACGAGAUUACACUUGAUACAAGAGAAAAUGACUCACACCCCAACAGGCCCAACUUACCCAACGUUGUUAAAAGGAAGGAAUCCAAAGCAAACAAAGACUAAAAUGAACUGACCCAUAUAGCCCAGUCUAUGCUUAUGCUUGUUAAUAUUAUUCUUUCCAUAUCAUUCAUGUGCAUAUGCUACUAUGCUACAAAGUUAACUUGAAGAAUCACAUCAAAACACUCUUUGUGAACCUUAUCACUUUGUAUGCAAUACAUACAUAUCAUGAAAAAACAAACAACAUAAACUUUUCAGGGUGAUGCCAUAUUUAGUGGGUUGCAGAUCCGUAAUUCGAAACUCAUAAUGUUGAGGAGAGAAAGUUCAUUCCAAGUGGGAAAUUGGGGGAAACUUAAAUAGUUCAAGAUUAUAAUGAAUCUUAAUCUACAUGUAAACUUACAUUAUUAGGCAAACUCAUGUCCGAUUGAUGCAAGAGAACGUACCAGUUACCUUUUAGAGUUCUAAAAUACUAAAUGAAGUUCAUAAUGGAAAAAUAAUAGAGGGUGUCUCAAGCUAUUGUCAAAGUGACAUAAGGUGCAUUGACCACAAUUUAUUUAAAUUAUAGAAUUUACUAUAUUAUAUUUUGAUGGAUAAGGUUAACUGUCAUAUGAGAUUGCAUCCUAUUGGAUAUAACAUUUUCUUGUAACCUUGAGCUCGAGUAGACCCAAAUAGGGCUAAGAACUUGUGCGCUCUUCCUCGAGACUUCAAUAACUGCUUUCUCUCCUGGCCAUACCAGGAGUCUUUAUGCCACCAAGAGAGCAUCCUCUUUAACCAAGAACUAUUGUGUUGAUAGGGAACAUGCCAAUAUACCAACACAGUCAUGUGUGUGUAUUGAUGGGAUAUCAUAGGCAAGAGCCACACUCCUGUGUAUUCAUGGAUGUUGCUUACUAUUGUUGAGAUGAAUAUUUCAAUAACUUAGGGAAAUUCUAUCAUACCGGAGGCGGACGGCAUGCUAUGCAGCAUGUCAUUAUUUGUAUCAGUGUACGUAUGUCAUACCGUCUACUGUACAACUAGUUGUACAUGAAGUUUUGAGUUUAAAUCUCGCUUCCUCACAUCACCAACAUAAAAGAACAUGGAUAUAUGUAUACUUCAUACCAAUCGUACAUACUUAACUAUCAUAUACAAUCACGGAGAUACCUUUAAAUCAAAUACAUAACACUGAAUUUAUUAUUAAAGCAGGAAAUCCUAGUUGAGUUAAUAUUACAUAUUGAGUGUAUCUCCAUUGUUUGUUACCUAUUUUAGAUAGAAGAUCGAUUUGGUUUAGGUUAGCUAAACCCUAGCUGGCUAGCACUUGUAUAUAUAGAGAUAGUCUGUACAAACCUUCUUUAAGUGAAUAUAUAUAUUUUCACCUCCAGUUUGUUUAUGGUAACAGAGCGACAUCCUGUGACCAAACCCUAAAACACAAAACACACCCUUCCUAUCCCUUAUGGCCGGCGGAACCAAAUCGGAAGACAAGGACGUCAAGUCCGACUCUGUCUCCAAAAUAGCCGCACCAUGGGAGGCUUCCAGCCACUCUACCAACAUCAUUCAGAUCAGCCCAAAGCUGUCCUCGUAGUCUAACCUUUGAUGGAGGACAACUUCUCAAAGUGGAUGCAAUCCAUGAGUGACGCACUCAAAAUCAAGAACAAGAUUGGCUUUGUUCUUGGUACUCAGAUCAAACCGACUCUGAAUGAAGAAGAGAAUCUGCAGUGGGAGCGUUGCGAUACUCUUGUUAAGACAUGGCUUGUAGCAUCCAUGUCGAAGCAGAUCUCAAAGAGUGUCAAGAAUUGCAAGACUUCCAGAGAAGUGUGGCUCGAUCUCCAGGAGAGAUUCUUACAAACCAAUACGGUUCAACUCUUUAACAUCAAAAACGCACUUCAUGAUUGCACACAAGGUUCAGAUUCGGUCACCACUUUCUACACAAAACUGAAGAGAUUAUGGGAUGACCGUGAUGUGCUCUGCAAUGUUGCAUCUUGUGGCUGUGGUCUCGAUGAGUUUAUCAAGAAUCAGAAAACUAUGAAAUUUCUCAUGGGAUUGAACGAGAAUUUCUCUAUUCUCCGAGGCACUAUUGUAGCCAUUGAUCCGCGGCCUACCGUGAACAAAGCCUAUUCCAUGGCUUUGAGACACGAGAAGCAGUAGAGGCUGCAGGAGGAGGAAAAGCCGCCGCACCACAAGAAGGUGUUGUUUUCGCUGUCAAGAAAACGACACAGGAAGAUGAGCCGGAGAAGCAAGAGCACUGCUGCGGCAAAUGUGGCAAGAAGCAUUUAACUUCUAAGUGCUGGCAACACAUGCAGUGCACGUAUUGUGAUCGAACAGGCCAUACUGUGGAUUACUGUAACAAGAAGAAAGCUGAUCUUGAGAGGCAAUCGAAGGGGAGCAUCAAUUCUCUUUUCGGUGAGGACGAAAACUUUCUGUUCACAAAGGAACAAUGCAAGGCUAUAGCAGAGAUCUUGAGCCAAAACAAGGCUGCUCAAGUCAAUCAAAUUGGUAAUCACUCUUCGUAUGAAGAACUUUCAGGUAUGGCAAUACGGUUCGAUAAGAAUAACAAAUGCGGUACUUGGAUAUUAGACAGUGGUGCUUCCGAUCAUAUAACCUGUGAUUUCAAACUUUUCACAUCUUCUAAAUCAACCACUACCUGUUAUGUCAAGUUACCAAACGGUAACACUACUCGAGUUAGUCACAUAGGCAGUGUUUCUUUUACUCCUCAACUCACCAUUCAUAAAGUGUUUUUUGUCCCAUCAUUCUACCUAAAUAUCAUUUCGAUCAGCAAGCUUGCACUUGAUUACUUUUGCAUAACAAUCUUCCUAAAACGUAUGUGUUUCAUACAGGACCUACGAUCGGGGAUGAUGAUUGGGACAUGAACUGAGCGUGAAGGCUUAUACUGCCUCAACAAACCGAAGAAAGAGACAUCAUGUCAUUCUGUUACUAGUCAAUCACCAAGUCUUUGGCAUCAAUGCCUUGGACAUCCUUCGUCUAGGGCUUUAUCUUUAUUUCCUUUUCUUUCCAGUAAAACUUGUGAUUCAAGUAAAUGUUUGGUAUGCGCUUUAGCUAAACAGACCAGAAAUAAUUUCCUUUAAGUACAAUUUCUAGUGUGUCACCCUUUCAUUUGAUUCAUGUCGAUAUUUGGGAAGGGUAUCAUGAACCUACACAUUAUGAGGCUAAAUACUUUCUCACUAUUGUUGAUGAUCACACUAGAUGCACAUGGGUCUAUUUCAUGGCACAAAAGUCUGAAACCCGUCAAUUACUUAUCGAUUUUAUUCAAUUGGUUGAGAAACAAUAUGAUAGGCACGUCAAAACAAUCAGGAGUGACAAUGGUGCCGAGUUCAAGAUGUCGUCAUACUAUGCAUCCAAAGGUAUUGUCCAUCAGACGAGUUGCGUCAACACACCACAACAAAAUGGUGUUGUCCAUCCAAUACCGAAACCCUAGUUGUCCAUCCAAUACCGAAUCCCUAGGGGCUGUCAACAUACCACCAUCACAGACUACACCACCGAGACAUUCUUCACGGCCUACCCGUAUUCCACCAUUCUUGCAGGAUUUCCAUGUUGAGGCAGCUCUUCCCUCACGUUCUGUCCCGUCAGCUUUUCUGGAUGCAGGUACUAUUCCUUAUUCUCUUUCAACUGUUUUAUCAUAUAAUCAUCUUUCUCCUUCCCACCGAGUUUUCACCGCACAACUAACCCUCCACAAAGAGCCUACAUCUUUCUCACAAGCUGUCCAGGUACCUAAAUGGAGUGAGGCCAUGAAGCAGGAAAUCCAAGCACUUCAACAAAAUCGUACAUGGAGCCUUGUUCAGUUGCCUCCUCAUAAACGCCCUAUGGCUGCAAGUGGGUUUAUAAGAUAAAGCUCAAGCCAGAUGGAUCAGUUGGAUUGUAUAAAGCACGUUUGGUAGCCAAGGGUUACAGUCAGGUGGAAGGAAUUGAUUACCGAAAAACGUUUGUACCUGUGGCUAAGCUGACUACCGUAAGAGUUCUUCUCGGCAUUGCAGCUUUACAAGGUUGGCACCUUCAUCAGUUACAUGUGAAUAAUACUUUCCUUCGUGGAGAUUUAUCCGAGGAAGUGUACAUGUCCUUGCCUCCAAGUUUCGAACGAAAGGGGGAGACUAGAGUGUGCAAAUUGCACAAAAGCCUCUGUGGUUUGAAGCAAACUUCCAGACAAUGGUUCAUCAAGUUAUUUGUAGCACUCAAAUCUACCGGGUUUCACCAAUCAUGGACAUAUUAUUCUUUAUUCGUUUGAGCACGUGCAGGCAAGUUCACAGUGUUACUUGUAUAUGUUGAUGACGUUAUAUUGACAGGGAACAGUUUGGAGGAUAUUCAAGAUGUGAAGAACUUUCUCUCCAAUCGUUUCAAACUUCAAGAUCUUGGAAAUCUCAAGUAUUUCCUCGGCAUUGAAGUAGCAAGGUCACGCGAUGGCAUUGCUCUUUGUCAACGCAAGUAUGCUCUUGAGAUUUUGGAAGACACCGGCUUCCUAGCAUCAGAACCAUCAACCUUUCCUGUCAACGGUAGCUUGUCACUCAAGGAAUUAGGGGGAGAGCUGCUUUCCGAUCCUGCACAGUAUCGUAAAUUGGUAGGGAGGCUCAUCUACUUGACAAUAACUCGGCCUGAUCUUGUGUAUGCGGUACAUGUUUUGAGUAAGUUCAUGAACAAACCUAGACAACCACAUCUUGAUGCUGCUUAUCAGGUUCUCCGCUACAUCAAGGGGACUCCAGGCUAAGGUAUUUUCCUUCCUUCAAAAGGGAAAUUGGAGCUCACUGCUUUCUGUGACGCAGAUUGGGCUAGUUGCAAGGACACUCGACGAUCACUCACCGGCUAUUGUGUCAUGAUUGGAAAUGCACCAAUCUCUUGGAAAACCAAGAAACAAAGCACUGUAGCUCGAAGUAGUGUGCAAGCAGAGUAUCGUUCGAUGACAACAACUUGUUGUGAGAUUACUUGGCUAUGCAGUUUGAUGAAUGAUUUAAGGGUAAGACAUAUUGGAUUGACACGGUUGUACUGUGAUAACCAUGCCGCCAUUCACAUUGCCAACAACCCCGUUUUUCACGAGCGUACCAAGCAUAUUGAGAUAGAUUGUCAUAUCAUCCGAGAAAAUGUGCAACCAGCGGACAUCUUCACUAAGCCACUCGGCAUUGAGCAGUUCAAGCUACUUCUUAGCAAGUUGAGAGUCAUUAACAUCCACUCCAACUUGAGGGGGAGUAUUAAAGCAGGAAAUCCUAGUUGAGUUAAUAUUGCAUAUUGAGUGUAUCUCCAUUGUUUGUUACCUAUUUUAGAUAGGAGUUAGCUAAACCCUAGCUGGCUAGCACUUGUAUAUAUAGAGAUAGUCUGUACAAACCUUCUUUUAAGUGAAUACAUAUAUUUUCACCUCUAGUUUGUUUAUUUAUCGUUCUAGCUAGGCAAAUUAAAGGACAAAAGAUUAAGAACUUAAGAUUAGGUUUAUAACAAAGAAGCUAAGCUAGCUAGGUGUAAAUCAAAUCGCAAGCUAUAUGACUUUGCACCUUGCAACUUUUAAGAUAAUCGAUCAAUUAUUUCUGAUGGAACGAGGGCCAGUCCCGCACGACAUGUACGUUGUUGGCUCUUCUUUAUCACUUUACUUAUAACCCAAGUGAGAAAAGAGAGAAACUCAAAUGACUGCAAAUUGACUGAGAAUGCAUGCAACCCUGGUGGCUCGAUCUGCAAUUCUGCAUGUACAUCAGACCGAGAAUCAGAAAAGGUCGGACCAGAACAAAACUCAAGAGCUGGAGAAUGAGAAUUAUUCAAAAGGAAACGCAAUGCCUUAGUUCCCAGUUCCCAUUUCGGUAGCAUACAGUAGUUAUAUGGAUAAACAUCUCUAGGAAGCUUGACUUUCUUUGAGGCUUAUUUUUUGGUCUGUCUUGCAUGCAUUUUAACAACAGUGGUAAUAGUAGCUAAAUGCGACUGUCAUUGAUAAUGCAUGCAUGUGUUGGAUGGAUUAUUGUUCCUCUAGCUAGUACGUUGCUAAUCAAGGAAGAAUAAUAUAUAUACAGGCUAUAUCCCACUCUAGUCUCAUUUCAUGACAUUUCUGUGCGAUCUCAUUUGAAAUAGGAUACCUGAUACCUAAUUCCACUGUAUAUUUGUGAAUAGAUAGAGAUUGAAAUCGCACCCCACUACAGUGGUAAAGAUUAUCUUAACUAGUUCGUAUCAUCUUGAUUAGAUGGGGACAAAAAAAAAAAAAAAAUUUAGAGAAAGGUAAAAUUAUAUCUAAUAACAACUAACAAUUACAACCAUGAGAGAUUUCGGUGGUAGACAACAAGUCCCCACACUCAUCCAUACCCACAUACAUGCGAUUACAAUGAAAAUGUAACCUACUUCUAACCCCAUCCACAAGACUUGAUACUCUCCUUAUGGUCAACCUCAAGAAAAAAUAACCAAGCACUGUACACCAAAACCGCUACCAUAUAUGUAGAUGCAACCUCCCAAUUACAUUGACAACAAAAAUACAUUGAUAGUCCCUGGACAUGACACCAAACAUGACCCUACCAAAACUACCAACGACACCAAAUCACAAACACCCUAAAACCCUUGCCAAAAAAGGAGGGACGACAAACAAAACCACACCAAAAAACACAAAACACAAAACAAAAAAACAAAACUAAAAAGAAGACCCAGACCCAGACCCAAGCCCAUCCUUCCUAUUGGAGCACAACGAAGAGGCCCUCCAAAAAACCACCCUAAGGAGUCCCAAGCCACUACACGUUGUCUUGUCGCUCCAGCCACCGUUGCGUCGUCACAAGAGUCUGACGCCUUCCGUCACGCACCUCAAAUGGCAACAUCACAACGAGGUUACACCAUUCUCAAAAUCUGUCACAAAUCGUGGCUAGGAUACCUGACCCAAAUUGAGAAACAACCCGGUAGAUCGUCACUGCCACAAAUCUCCCUGCCACUGCUCAUACCUCUCCAUCUGACCUCACCACCGCCACCACCUGAUUGGCCAAACUUUUUCAACAACGCAACAACCCCACCAGAGCAAAUCACACGACACCCAGAGACCAUGAGCGACGCCUCACAACCGAUAUCUUGAAGAAACAUCCACCACGUGAUACACCGCCUCCAACCUAACAAGGCAUAGCCACCAUUUAGCCACCCGGAGACUCCCGUCCGACAACAGCAUCAACGGACACGCCGUUGGACGGAUAUGAGAAAACAAGUCUUGAAACCCUAGAGGGACCAUGUUUUGCGGAGUUGUAGGUAUACAAUAAGUAGUGUUUUUUUUCAAAAAUUUAAAAAAAAAAAUUGUUUGAAUAGUGUUGUAUAUGGAAAAUAUUUUCUUUCUUGUUAUUUUUAUUAUGCACAUGAAUAAAAGGAGGUGAAAUGUAGAGAUCAAUUAUCAUGAUUAAAUAGCAACUCCAACAAAUUCUUCAUAUAUUGAUUUUUCUCUUUUUUAGGGAGAAAUAAAUAUCUCUAAUUUGCUCCAACAGUUUCUCUAUAACUAAAUAGGGAUAGUGAGGAAACUUGGCGGCAACAGUGGUUCUCCACUGGUGGCAGCCUUGCACUUUCGAUUAAAAGGGGGAACUUUUCCCUCUCUUUCUCGUCAAAUCGGUGGUGAUGACGGAGGGUUUGCACGACCCUAUUCCAUGAACAAGACUCAAUCAGAAAUGGAUCUGAUCUUGGAUCCAGGUGGUUUGAAAAUAUUAAAGGGGAUCAGUGCGCUCGGCGGUAGCAUGUCUGGCAGCGGCUUGGAGCUUUUUCAGGUUGGUGGGUUUCAGAUCUUACCUUAAGGUUGUGCACCUGUUCUUCCUUCCUAUUAUGUUGUUGGGGAGAGCGGUGGUGAUGUGGACAGAGCCGGCGACGAUGAUGUGGCUCUGAUUUCGAAAAUGGCUACGCCGACAUUGUUGGCCGCGGGUGGUGAUGACGGCGGCAAAGGGGUGGAGAAUGCUAGGGUUUGGGCCCGAAUGGGCUUGGGUUGGAGCUUCUAGGGUUUCCCUUAGCUGGGCCUUGACCGAUGCAGCUGGGCUUCGGCCCCUAGUUUAAAUUUAGUUUGGUCCAGGUAAACUAGUUUUCUGCGGAUCCUAGUUUUACCUGUACAAUAAAAAUACUUAAUUGCUACAAGGUGGGUAUACUUAGGAUUUCAUAGCUUAUGUUUUAGCUAGUAUAGGACUUGCAAUUCUACAAGACGAUGCUUUCUGACGACCCCACAUGGGUGUGUGUCGUCUUUGUACAGCUUGCUCUGAUUUAAAUGGAAUGACCUCUUGUUUAAAAAAAAAAUAGGGAUAGUUUGGAAAGAGACAACGAAAUUCCCUAAAUUUACAAAAACCUCUUAAAAAUUGUAGGAAAAUAUAGAGAUUGUUGUAAAAUAGAGAAUCUAUUAAAGUUGAAGCAUAAUUAUUAAAGAAAUAUUAAUUUUUUGCUUUUCUAUAAUAAAGAAAUUUUAAGGAAGCUACUACCGGACUUCUUAUAACCAACCUACACACCAAACUUGUAUUUGUGAUGGACUGCUUCUUUUCCGGUUAACAUUAUGCCUUCCAGUUUCAUUACAAGUCCUUACAAAGCACAUCUCAGCGAAAAAAGUUCGCAGCACCAGCAAGUACUUACGUAGGAAUGGACAGUUGGAUAACCUCACAUGCACCUUUUGGUUAUUAGUUAUAUAUGAAAAAUAUACCGACUAUAAUUACCAAGAAUUGAGAUCACCGUUGGGUUACACUUGCCCUGCUAGUACAUAGAAUAAUUUUCAUAAAAUUAUAUAGUAGCUUAUAUAGUACCUAGUACUUACUAAUUUGUCACCAUAGUGAAACAUACCUGCAAACCAGGGUAGCAUUCACUUGGGGGAACACAUUUCUAAAGUAGCUUAUUAGGCUUACUCAAUAUUCUACACCCCUAUAAAGAGCUACAAUUAGGUCAAAAAACAACAGACUUGUUCCCCUUCCAAGUAUAGAAAAUUAUGACAUGUUGGGUGAGAGACAUAGAUGGUUUGUCUCUCAAGAAAAAAAAAAAAAAGAUUAGACAAUUGGUUACCGACAGAUGACACUUCUUUUGUUGGCUUAACCACUUCUUUAAUGUCUUCCUAAUUGAGAACUAGCUAGGAGAUCAUCAACUCGAUCACGAGGGUUGGCACAUGACUUGGAAUCAUGCCCCGAAAACGCGUUAUAUUAACAAGAGAAUCAACAAACCCAAAAUGACUACUCAAUAUUCACCAAUUACCAUCUCGGAUAAGAAAACUCGAAGCAAAAUGAAGACUAGGACAUGGAAAUGACACUCUUGGAGUCUUGCGGACCCAAUUUUAUGCUGAGAAAAUUCUUCUAUAUGAUGGUCGAGAAUAAAGGUGGGCUUUUAGAAAGAUGGGAAAGUAAUGGCUAACAUGACUGUUUAGCUGGUGACUUAAGGUUGGCAAAGUGUCACUGUUAAGGGCAGUGAUCGAAAGCAGAUAGCUAGGUAAUGGUUACUAUUAAUCAUUAGCUAUGAUAGACUAAUGGUCAACCCCGAUUGGGGGAUUGUAGCUAGGGAUAAUUAUUAAUGGUAGUAUAGUAAUGUUCAGGACUGAUUAGGGACAGCAAGUUAACUCGAGUUUAGGCCCCAUCAUUUGGCUAAUGUACACAAUCAUGAUUAAUUAGAGACCACAAGUUAACUCGAGAACCUUCAUUCUCGGAAUUCGUCUCUCCAUUCGGAUCUGUUUGAUUUAUGUCUUGAAGUUGGCAUGAGUCUUGCUCGACCCGUUGUCUGGUUUUGUUGUGUCGUUGUCUCUCCGGCUGAUGCGGCUUUCACGACGGUGUGGUCGUUGGUGAUGACGUGUCAACUUUCUUGGGCUUUCAUUUUGCUGUCUAGGCCUUUGGGCCAGUGUGUUUGGUUCGGUUGUUUUUAGGCUUGUCUUGAGUGAGAGAAUUCGGGCGCAAAGGUCUAGUUAGUCUAGCCCAUUAACCGACAUGUCUUUUUGGCUCGAAAAAGCAUAUGCGUCGAUCUAUCCAGUUCGUAUUUCUGUUUGUUUGAGUCUGUUUUCCUUUCUUUUCUGAUAGGUGUCAUCAUUUGGCCCGCGGGCCUAAAGGCUCGUGUGCGGCUCGUCGGCCCAGAGGGUAAAAGUUCGACUCGGCCCAUAUAAAAGCCUUUCUCGACCUGGCUCAUAGGACAUGAGGCGGGGUUAGGGCGGAGGGUUCAAAGCCUUGAGCCGGGCCAUAAGGCUAACACGCGGCCCGACCCAUUAUAGCCCGUCCAGUCCGGCCCGCUCAAAAGCCCUUUCUAUUCUAGUAUUAAUAUUUUUUAUGAACCUAUUAGUUGAAUAUGUGAACUAAUUUAUGCAUUAAGUCAUAUUUUUCUUUUAUUUUUAUUCUAUUUGGUUCAAAUCAUUAACAAAUAUUAACUUUUUCAUAGUUUCUUGUUUUUUUAAUAAAUAUGUAUUUGUUCUAGGAUAUUCUCUAUGUGUGCCUUGGCCUUAUGCCAAUAGGAUAUGUAGUUAGACUAGAUCUAUGUAUUCAUAUCCUUACCAUAUUGGUAUUGUGUAAUUCCCUAUAUAAAGGGCUCCUAUCAAUGAAUAAGAUGAUUCUCUUGCUAUCUCUUUGUCUCUACACUUUAUUCUUCAUCACGUUAUCAUGCACUUUGUUCUAACCCUAGAGCCAAUAGCCCACCAUUUUUUUUCCAAACCCUAAAAACCAAAACCCUAAAAUCGGGCAGCCUUGUUUUUCCCGAUUUCCGACCAAAAUUCCGACUGCCCUCCGCCGGAAUUUUAUAUCCCCAGAAAGCUCUUUCCGUCACGGAUCCAACGCCGCUGGCCUCACCCUGAGAACUGGCCGGAAAGUCUCCGAACCGGCCGCCGGAAAAUUCCAGACUGCCGCCGCUACCGACCACCGGUUCACCACCUUCCCUUACUCCGAUCAACCUGAAAUUUUGACAGAAGCUUCCCCAUCCAGAGCUGCUCCUCCUGUCAAAUUUUCAGCCCCAAAUUCGAAGUAUAAGUAGGCGAAACGUUAUUUCUCCUCUCGGCAGCCUUUAGAAAGGUAUGUUUUGAAACCUUAAACUCUUCCAAGUUCAAUAACUCGGGGAGGAUAAAAUCCUUUCCUCCCUUCUCCAUCUCCAUUCUAUGCUUGGGAUUUUGUGUGUGCAGGUACCAAAAAUCCCGGAAUUUUAUUCGCGGGUCAAGAGUAUGUUGGAUCACUCUUGUUUCUUUGUCCGGGUUGUGUUUGAUCAACCCCGACCUUUCACCGGAUUGUGUUUGAUCAAUCCGAGGCCUUUUUCCGAAUUGUGUUUGAUCAGUUCGCGGCUUUUCCGGAUUGUGUAUGAUCAAUCCGAAGGACAAACCAUUAAAAGCAUCGUUUGUGACCUCUAUCAAGUCUCAUAACAGCUUGGUUUUGUAUGCAAGAGCAAUGUAACAUUCUGCUCCUUUGAGUUUUGACGUACUAGAUGCCUAAGGCGGAUCUUCGCUUGGUAUCUGUGGAACCUUUCAUUGGAAAGGAUUAAACCACAUGUUUUGACCCCCAGGCUAACAAGCUUAGAUGCCGAGAUUUCACAUCUCAUGCGCUCAAAGUUUUUGAAGCGCCACAUCGACAAAAGCCUUCAAUGGCAACCUGUGCAAAAAGUAAUGACCACAAAGUACUGUGGAAUGCACUCAUGGAGCAUUUCUCGAAACGUUCAUAUAACUCUACUUGUUGNNN
This 83455-nucleotide long non-coding RNA is filed under the name Fragaria vesca (wild strawberry). RNAcentral describes it as "long non-coding RNA (FVES_LNC001463)". Lineage: Eukaryota; Viridiplantae; Streptophyta; Magnoliopsida; Rosales; Rosaceae. The record is from RNAcentral.